This 58099-nucleotide long non-coding RNA is filed under the name Malus domestica (apple). RNAcentral's name for it is "long non-coding RNA (MDOM_LNC009063)". The record is from RNAcentral. Lineage: Eukaryota; Viridiplantae; Streptophyta; Magnoliopsida; Rosales; Rosaceae.
GCCAUAUGCUCUUGUACUUGUCGUUUGUUAGAAUUUGCAUUUGAUCACCAACGUUAACAAUAAAAGCGCCCGGAGCGGCAUUUACCAAGACCCACUGAUCAUUGUGCUUGACUUCAAGGCCACACAUAUCAUUCUGAAUCAGGAGCGUCACCAGUCCAUGAUCUGUAUGAGGAGGAAUACCGAUUGCCAGGUCGGGCUGUGGGCAAGCCGGGUAGUAGUUCGCUGCAAGAAUUUGGCAGCCCCGAUCCCAGUUCAUGGCCUUGGUAAUGUAAUCGGCCUCCAGUCCCAAACUCUCCGAUAUUCCAUUCAAUAUUUCGGUUGCCACUGCACGGGUUCUUUUGCUGAACUCCAAUGAAACUUCACUGUACCCAGCAGGUUUGUAGAGUGAGUUGAAUUUAGGGUGUGCGAUGACCUUGAGAUAAUCCCUCCAGAGACGAACUUUGUCAAUUGCGACGUUGAAGCUGGUGCCGCACUUGAUUGGAUCCAACAGGUUCUUUGUAUGGAACUCCUUCUUCUCCUCUUCCGGCAGUUCAAAAAAUCGUCGGCACGCGUCGAUCAUUUCUUUCAUUAGGCUCUCUGGUACACCAUGGUUGAUCACCUAAAAGGCAUCAAGCACAUGAAAAUAUUAAUUCAUGUUUCAUUUUUAAGUUAAAAUUUGAAAACUUAUAACUAUUUCAAUUUUCAAUUUAUAUAUAUAUAUAUUUUAAAUAAAAAUUUGAAACGAAAUAGUUAUCAAACUAAUAAAAUAUUAGUUAAUUUUAUACAUGUUCAAGCAGACAUAAUUGAUAACAAGUGUGAAUAUACCUGAAAGAAGCCCCAUUCUUGGCAAGCUUUUCCUAGCUUCUGGAUCAUUUGUGCCCGUUCAUCUGGGGAGGCAGAGGUGAGAAGAGCAAAAUCAAUGAUGGGGAUUGAGUGUUCAGGGUCGUUUGCAUCUCCCUUAUCGUUGGGAUCCAUGAUGUAGGCGUACUCGGAAGGUACAGAAGUGAGAGCAUCUGAGUCGGCUAAGGUUUUGAUGCUUGCUACCUUGGGUUCAGAUGCAUCCACUGAAGUCACGGUAGGUGCCAUUGGUGGAGGGAGCGAGAAAGAAGCUGAGAAUUCUGGUCUUUGAUUUGUAUAUCCUGAAGGAAGGACGUGAGGGAGAGGAAAGUUGAUUGUUUGAGAGUUGUGGAGAAAUAUGAAAAAAGGAGUUGCUAUUUUAUAGAGCAAGAUAACUUAUGACUCUACCCCCACAAGCUGGUGGUUUUUGAAUAAGUUCGGCCAAAGCUGACCUAGAUUUCAAAUCUGUUGUCCUGCAACAAUAAAAUAUAUAUUAAUUAGUUGUUAACCUACAUGUAUAUGCAAUAGAUUAAUUCUUGGAAAACCAUAUUAUGUAAAUCAUAUUUAAAUUAUUUCUCUAAUAGAGAUGAGACAUACUUGUAUGAUUCGAUAGAUGGUUUAUUAUCGUCUACAUAGGAAAAUGUCAAAGGAACAUUUAAAUCAUGUGCUAUGUUACUAAUAGAAAUAAGUUCGUUAAUCAAGCACUUAAGUAACAAAAUAAUCAUUGACAAUCACGUCAUGUUUAUAUAUAUGGUCUCACUAGCAUUACUCGAUCUACAAAAUAUGAUUUUUUAGCAUUACCCUCUCUAAAAGAAGUAGAGUCCACCAUACAUGUAGGUCGCACUAUUUCAAAGAUUUCGAAGUGGUCUCCAAAAUAUUAGUGUAAGCACAAAAAUUCCUGCCACAAAUGAGAUAUUUACAUGCCUACAAUUAGCUCCCCAACAUUUUUCUAUGCAAUAAUCAUACUACUACUAGAUAUAGGAAAACCAAAAUUUGAGGGGAUUGCCUAUGAAUAUGUUAUAUAAUACAUUCAUUAUCUAAUAGUAUGAUAUGCAACUAAAAAGACAUGGUAUCAUAUUUAACCGUUAAAUGGUGAAAAUACUAAAUAAAUAUACAUGCUGUAAGUAAACUAAUGAAAUAGUGAAAAAAAAUGCUUUACUUUGUUUUAUAUUCCCAAAUGGAGGAGAGAUGGGAAGAGUAUAUGCAUGAAUGAAUAGUUGAUGAGAAAAUUAGAAAAAUGUAGGAAUGCGUUUGGCAUGGGGUUUAAAGAAAAUCCAAAGUCGCGUCCAGUUUGAGACUUUGACUACGGCAGACAAAGCCACUGAAGCAAGCACAACAAGCCGCCCACCACAGCCAAGUAAAAGAAUAUGACACGAAAUAUGGCACAAAAAAAUCAAAUACAAUCAUGCAUCGGCAUCUGUACGCAUCUACAAUUCCAAAUCUAAAUUUACCCCUUGGCCUUGGGAGUUUCUGCCGUUUGGAUGCCCACCGGUAGGUAACAGAUUCUUCAUGUCCCAAGCCUAAUAUUGGAAUCCCGUUUUAUGAAACCUCGUUAAUUGGGUGCAAUUAUUGACACACCAAAAAUUGAGAAUUUUAACGAAACGCUUCCGGUAUUGUUUAUUUUAACGAAAAAUCAUAUUUUUACACUAAAAAGUUAAUCCUGGUACUAUUCACUUUACCCUUUAUUUUGUCCUUAUCGUUAAAACUCAAAGUUUUCAAAUAAUUUUCAUUAGUUUUCCUUUAAAAAAUUUAUUGUGCUCUUUUUAUAAGUGUUUGUUUUACAAAUAAUAUUUUACAGUAUCCAUAUUAAAAGAAAAAGUUUGAACCUUGAACGAAAUUAGUUGAGGGGGAAGACCUAACUAUUAAGACAAUUCACUAUUUGCAAGUAUUUUUUUUUUCUAAAUAAGACAAUAAUUUUUUCUAAGAUGCCAAUAACAACGCCCAAUCAACUUUGAUGAUUCAAUUAGUCAACCAUUAAUUCAUGUUAGUUGGCUUGGUUUUCGAGAAGGUGACGUAUAUCCAAAUUCCAACUAUAUUAUACUUCUCCAUUUUGUUUUUAUUUUGAGUAAUGUUAAGGAGGUUACACGUUUAUAUUAUAUUUAGUAUAUCAUCUCAUAUAACAAGUGAUGCAUACAAUUAAUAUCCAAUGAGAUAAUUUUAUAUUGACUUGACGUGUACACAUCACUUGUCAUGGCACGAGAGAUUUUACAUAUUUUACUUUCUCGAACAUUAAACUUAGAACGAGAAUGAUGCAAUCCAUAUUUCUAUGAAACCUCUCUUUUGUUUGGUGAACCACAUAUAUGGCUAAAACCUUUUGAAUGUGAAUAUGCUUGAAAUUUCAUUUCUCAGAAUAAAACAAUACCUUAAAAUAAUAUUCUGGAGAGUAGGCUUUCAUAGUUUGAAAAACACAUGCGAAAAUACUACAAAUUAGUUCAAAAUGCACGCAAGACACUUUUGUAUAAAUUAAAUGUAACCCUAAGUUUAUAUUUCGUUCAAAGGACCUAUCCCUUCCAGAAUGUAAACCCCACACGAGUCAAAGUGACAUCAUUUGCACCCAUUUCAUCCUACCUUUUAACUAGAACUCUUGCUUUAAGUCUCUAUGGGAAUUGACUGGAGUAGGUUCUCUGGCGAAACAGACAAAAUGACCUUGUCAAAAUCUACCGUAGAAAAGCAGAGUAGAAUUUUCUCUACUUCUAGUCUUCUAUUCUCUUCCAUUUCCCUUACCCCCACUCAUACUUUCAUUUUUUUCUUUAUACCUCUAUAAAAAAUAUUCUGAGCUGCUGACGUGAUUGAAUCUCAACCUUUCAAAUACGAGAGGAGAGAAGGGGAAAUAAUCCUAGAAAAAGUGACUCCACCGGUGCUCCAAUCAUGUGAGUUGACUUGGCGCCAAUUCAAAAAAUCAUCUCCAUUGGUAGAAAAAUAUUAAGGCAAUUGGAACAAGUGUAGCAACCCCACCUGAGCUUGCACUUGCAAGCAAUUAGAGCAACUCCAGCGUUGCAAAGGCCCUUAGGGCAACUCACUAUUAAAUAACCUCCAGUAAAUAAUAACUUUCAUUAAUGAACAAUAACUAUCUUUUGCAUCUCCAAUCCUAAACUAAAUAGUCAUGGCAAUAGGCAAUAAAAUAUUAGUAUUUUUUAUUUUAUAAAAUAAUACAAAAUAAUUUUAUUUGUAAUUUCGAAUAAGAUUUUUAAUUGUUUUCGUUGCGCUACGUGUCAUUAUCCGAGAAGACAAUUUUUGGUGAUAGAUUUCGAUAAGAUAUCUAUUCAAUGUCGUCGUGCCACGUGUUGUUAUCUUUUCAGAAUCGUUGAGGAUAUAUUUUCAAUAAGAUUUUUAACCAAUCACGUCGCGCCACGUGUCACAAUUUGUUUACAAUCUUUGAGGAUAGACUUCAAUCAGAUUUUUAACGAAUGAUGGCAUGCCACGUGACAUUAUCUACAACCUAAUAUGAAAUUGUGGUGUAAGAUAGAAGAUAAUGAGUAGGUAUUUAUAGAAAAGUAAAAUAAUUUUUUUUUCGGAUUUUUCAUUAAUUUUAACAUUUUUAUUAACUUAAUUAAUCUCUGCAGUUGGACUAAAAAAAAUUUGAAAUCCAACCUUCCAGAUUGUGCCAUGUGGCACAACAGUAACAUUUCAAAAUUUAUUAAUGUGAAUUCUUUUUUUAUUUAUUUUUAAAGGCGAAUAAUGUGGAUCGUUGAUCUCAAAUCCAACGGCUGAUACUGUGGAAGGUUUCAAAUUUUUUUUACCAUUGGAAAUCCAACGGUGUAGAUAAAGUAAUCGUUGAAAUCCAACAGACAAGAAAAAGCCACGUGGCCACCAACAGGUAACAUUUCUGCCGUCUACGCCGUGGGCCCCAGUGCUUGAUGCAAAAAUAAUUAAAUAAUGGCUGACGCCACCCUGACGUCAGCGUUGCAUCACAUGACCCUCAAGCUCUCGGGCCACCAAUUCGCAUUGGGCCUUUCACUCAGGCCCCCCUCCCCAAUCGCACGCAUGGGCUGGAGGUUGUUGCUGGGGCUAUUAGGUCUUCAAAGUUGUCGGUCCAUCGGGCUUCAGCUCCUGCUGGAGUUGCUCUUAGAGCAAGGGCAGCAGCCCGUUGGGCUGUCCUACUUGUUCAAGCAUGGGCUUGGGCCUGUAGGCAACUGAAACUAACGUCUGUGCAGGUCCACCACGUGCAAUCCACUAAGGCAAAAACCUCGCACUCACCCGUUAGAUUUUUAAUGGUCUUCUCAUCGACCGUUGGAUUUUCAACAAUAAAAAAACUUGAAAAUUAUAGUUUGUGCCACGUCGCACAAUUUGGUGCAUCUAAUUUUUUUUUUUUGGAAAUCAACGACUAGGAUUAAUCCAAAGGUAAAAAUUCCACAAAAUGUCAAAAAAAAAAAAAAUACAAAAUUUUGUUUAGUAACACAUUAACACUUAAACAAACUCCAAAGUUCAACCAUCUUCUUUAUUCACCUUUUACCUUUAAUUAAUUAUGCUUGUUUGUACUACUAUGUUUUGCUUGGUUUUCGAGAUGCCAAAAUUCCAACUGUACUAUGAUUCUCCAAUUUGUAUUCAUUUUGAGUAAUGCUGAGGAGAUUACACAUUUUUACUACAUUUAAUGUAUUAUCUCAUAUGACAAAUAAUGCAUACAAACAAAAAUAAUGCAGUCCAUAUCUCUAUUAGGGCUGGGUUAGGUUUGAAACGGUUCGGUUUUUAGUCAAAAUCGAAACCGAACCGAAAUUUCGGUUCAGUUCGGUUCGGUUCAAAUUUUUUCGGUUCGGUUUUUUUCGAUUUUGAUUUUUUUCGGUUCGGUUUCAGUCCGGUUCGGUUUUUUCCAUGAUAUUUUUUUUUUAAUUUGGAACAAAUCUGCAACGAUUAAUUGCGAGCACUGAAGAUGCAGAAACUUAUUGGGUAUUGGUGCAAAUGAAUAUGAACUGGAACAAAUCUGCAAAUCUGCACUGGAAGAAAUCUGCAAAUGAAUACGAACUGGAACAAAUCUGCAAAUGAAUACGAAAAUUACAAUAUAAAAUCCCAAAUCCCAACAAAUCUGCAAAGAUUAUAACAUGCAAAAUCCCAACUAAUAAUUAAAAGAAAAACCCAUUUUAAUUCAGUAAAUCACAAUAUAAAAUCCCAACAAAUCUGCAAAUGAAUACGAAAAUUACAAUAUAAAAUCCCAACAAAUCUGCAAAGAUUAUAACAUGCAAAUCCCAACAAAUAAUGAAAAGAAAAACUCAUUUUAAUUCAGUAAAUCACAAUAUAAAAUUAUAAAUCAUAUUAGUUUUGAUUCGAAAAUUACCUAUGAGAGAUCGGAAAACCCGGAUUCGAAUCUUCUAAUUUAGAGGGGGUUUUGAUUCGAAAGGGGCGAGGGAAAAUCAUGGUUUGGAAGAAGGAAUCCGUGAGGAGGACAUGAGAAGACUGGAGAGAGAGUGAUUUGGAGGAAGAGAGGAAGGAGAGAGAGAGAGAGAGAGAGAGAGAGAGAGAGAGAGAGGCUGAGGAAGCAAAGGCAGAGAGAGGAAGCAGCGGAGGGGAGUGUUUGAAAUCUGAAAUGGGAAGUGAGACAAAGUGUGAGACGGCUAGGGUUUGUAAAGUUAAGAAAUUUUAUAAAGCAUUAAAUACAAGAAACCUAUAAAUAUUGUACUGGUACAAUUAUAACAACUCAAAGCCUACAGUCAAGUUGGCUUGCAGCAACUAAUCCUAAGCUGUAGGGAAGGGGUUCAAACCCCGGCGCCAACAUGUUUUUUUAGAAUUUAUAUAUGAUUUUUUUUUCGGUUCGGUUCGGUUUCCGAACCUCAAAAACCGAAACCGAACCAACCAGAUUCGGUUCGGUUCGGUUUGGCAGUUUCGGUUCGGUUUUUUCGACUUCGGUUCGGUUUGGUUUUCGGUUUUUUGAACCCACCCCUAAUCUCUAUAAAACCUCUCUUUUGUUUGGUGAACCAUGUACCUAACACCUUUUGAACGGGAAUGCGUACGUACUAAUUGAAUUCUUGAAAUUUCAUUUCGCGCAAUAAACAAAUGUAAUCCCACUGACAUCAUUUGCACCCAUUUCUCUAUGUUGGAACGUCAUCAUACCCUUUAAUUUUAACUCCUCUUAGUCUGUGUGAGUUGACAAGGGAAAGGUCCUCAGGAUAAUAAGGCAAAAUGAUCGUAUCAAAAUCGGCUAUAGAAUCCUUUUGACAAAAAAAAAAAAUAAAAAAAAAUAAAAAAAAAAAUUAAAAAAUAAAAAAUAAAAAUAAAAAUCUGCUAUAGAAUCAAUCGGCACUGACCUUCUUGGGAAAACACAUCCGCUACAUGUUCACACAGCAUUCAGCCUCACGCACCAGCUGCUUGAGGACGCGAAGGAUAGGCCGUUGGAUUUUCCACGUUAAAAAAAUGAAAAAUUAUAAGUUGUGCUAAGUUGCAUAAUGUGGUGUAUUUAAAAAUUAACCGCCAUAAUUAAUUCAAAGCAAAAAAUUUAGAAGAAAAUGCAAAAAAUUCCUAAAAGAUACAAAACUCUGUUCUAGAACACACUUAAAAUUAAACACACUAAAACAAACUGAUAAAAGUUCAACCAUCUUCUUCAUUCACAUUUGAUCUUUAAUUAAUGGGUAAAUUACAUUUUACCACCCCAGAUUUAAGGUUUAUUACAACCUCAUACAACAUCUUCAAAAAAUUUCACUUUCAUAUCUCAUGUACUAUUUUAUUUCAAUAUAAUGCAUCUGAUACAUUUUUCAUCAAUUGGACCGUUAAGAGUUGAUGUGGCUGUCACAUUUAUGCCACGUGACUGCCACAUUUAUGCCAUGUGGCUGACCAAUUAAUAAAAAUAUUAAAAUAAUUAAUUAAAAAACAAUAGAAACCCCCAUUUGUCUUCCUCGAGCACCCUCUUCUCCCAUCCCUCGUCACCAUGGUCUAAAAUAUCCAUAAUAUCCCGAUAUUUCCAUCGAAAUUUCCGUGUUUUUGGACUACCGAUAUUUUUUUGGACUAUCGAUAUUUCCGAUAUCAUCGAUAUUUUAGACCUUGCUAAGUCACUCAUGUAUCUUACCAUGCAAUGUAUAAAGUGUAAAAUAUUGUACUAAUUCAUUAUAUAUAAAUGAUUAUGGUGUGUUUAAACUUCUUUCAUUAAUUACUACAUAUUUUCUACACUCACAAUGUUUGCCAGCUCGCUAUAUAAUCAACUUAAAUCAGUUAUAUCUAUCAUGCAAUGCAUUUCCUUCCAAUUUUUUUGUAAUAAACUAAUAGAUAAUUGACUAAAUAAACAUCCUGUAAAGUUUCAAUAAAAUUUCCAAGUUUUUCUUACAAUUUCCGUGGUUUUUAUUCAAUUUUUAUCGAUAUCGAUAAUAUCCCGAUAUUUCGAUCGAAAUUUCCGUGUUUUUGGAUUAUCGAUAUUUCCGAUAUUAUCGAUAUUUAAUACCUUGCUCGUCACCAACCCUGUCCCCUAAUUUUUUCCCCCAAACAAAGCCCAUCACCUCCUCCUCUCCUCCCGUUGCAACAUUUCCUCCGUUAGCCCGAGGAGGUAUCUCAUCACUAGACCCUGAAUCGCUUAAGACCAACCUAGACCUCUUCUUGUCCUUCGGUUCAAAAACCUUCCGAGCACUCGAAGAACCAACAACACCACUCAACCCCUUAGGUUUCUUCCUCACAAUUAAGCAACCUGAAGAAUUUUUCUUCACCAAAACCCCAGAAGGGCCAACAGAUCUCACACCUUCGUCCAUCUACAUCAACCGCUAGAAACCAAAAAACCCUAAUUUUUCAAAACCCGCCCCUAAUUUUUCAAAACCCGCAGUCCAAUUGAAAGGGCAAAGGAAUAUUUCACAAAAAUCUUACCUCGCAGGAGAGUCUGGAACUCUGCCUAUUGAAGAUAUCUGAUCGCUGUCGCAAUUCUCCAAAUCAGAGAGAAAGGGGAAGGUUCAGACGGAGAAAGAGAGGGAGAGACAUAGAGAGAAGGGCUGGGUUUGGAUUGUAAAUAUAUGCAAUUGCAGGGCAGAUCAGAGAAGGGGUGGCUCGGGUGGGUGAUGGGGGAUGGGAGAAGGAGGUGCUCGAGGAAGACGAAUGGGGGUUUCUGUUUUGUUUUUUGUUUUUUGUUUUUUUUUGUUUUUUAGUUUUCUUUAAUUAAUUAUUUAAAAUGACAUGACUGCCACAUUUGCGCCAUAUGGCUAAACAAUUAAUUAAAAAAAAUUAAUUUUUUUUAUUAAUUGUUUAGGCACGUGGCUCAAAUGUGGCAGUCAUGUCAGCUCUUAACGAAUUAAUGGAUGGAAAAUAUAACAGAUGUAUUAUAUUGAAAUAAAAUAGUACAUGAGGUAUGAUAGUGAAAUUUUUUGAAGAUAUUGUAUGAGGUUGCAAUAGACCUCAAACUUGAGGUGGUAAAGUGUAAUUUACCCUCAAUUAAUUAUGCUUGUGUUGUAAUGUUAUGCUUUACUUUGUGUUUAAUUAAAUUAUUUGAGUUAAAUAGGGAAUUUUAUUUUUAAAGAACAAACUUGUUAAGUACAUACUCACAAGACGUUGGCGGGCCCUACAUCUGUUAGAGAAAUGUAGGUCCUGGCAAACAGGUUGUGUUUACCGUGUUCGUGGUGUUUUCGUGUAACACCUGUUAUCUUAACGAGUCGGGUCGUGUCGUAUCACACCAAUAUCUUAACAUGUUCUUAACAGGUCGGGCUAUUUAACCAGCAGGUAAAAUGACCCGUUAAGAUUUUUUUUUCUUUUAAAUUUGACAUACCACAUUGCCACAUAAAAUAUUACUUCGAAAACUAAUUCGAAACGAAAAACCCCAAAUUGAAGAAAUGAAACCAAUCUAAUUCGAAAACUAAUUCACAGCAAAACCUUAUCUUUUGAAAGUGAUUCGAAAUAAUCAACAAUUACCUUGAUUAGGGCUCCAGAUUCGCUCAAUCCAGAGAGAGAAUAGAGACAAAAGUAGUAGAUCGACUGGUGGUGGGUUACUAGGUCGUAUGUGGUGAGGGUGGUGUUGUGGAGGGAGACUAGAGAGGAUGGUCGUGGACUCGUAGCUAGGUGGAGUUGAGGUUCGAGACUGAGAUUCGAGAGUUUAGUUUGAAAAAGAAAGAGUCUCUGCUUCGAUUCGAGCAUUCGAGAAUAAGAGAGGAGUCUGAUUUAAGGCUGAGAAAAACAUUGGACGGCUGAGAUUUAAUCUUAGCCGAUCCAAUGGUCAUCAAUUUUCUAAUUUUUUUAAAUAUAUAGGAAAACUAAUGAAAAUGGCUUGAAAAUUUUGAAUUUUAAUCAAAAGGACAAAAAUGUGUUGUAAGUGAAUAGUACUAUGAGUGACUUUUUAGAGUAAAAUUGUCAUUUUUCGUUAAAGUGAACAGUACCAGGAGUGUUUUGUUAAAACUCCCUAUAUAUAUAUAUAUUAACUUUCAAUUCAGUUUAGGAUUAAAUCCUUUUGUUGUUAAUCUUAAUAUUUCUUUCUAGUGGUAUGAAAAUUUUAAAUUAAUAUUUUUCCUAUUAUGUAACGGGUUACCCACGUGUGUACCGACCCGUUAUUUAACAGAUGCUUAUCAGGUUACCGGAUAAUGACUCGAUUUGUUAUUGUGUCAACCUGAAAACCUGUUGAUUUCGUGUCGUGUAAAAAAUUGCUAGGCCUCGAGAAAUGUUAUAAAUAGAUGGUAAAUAUAUCAUUAUUUUUUUUUUGUUUUAUUUUGUCUUGUUGCGUGUUACACUUGGGACCCACGUCCCACUUUGAUAUCCUAUUCCCCUCGGACUUGGCUUCUCUGCCCUCCCAAUUCCCAGACACUCUCAUCCCCUCCUAUUUGUGCUGUCAUGGUUAAACCAUGUCAACAUUUUAUAUUACUAUUGCUUUUUGUCUUAUUAUUUCUAUAAAAAAAAUCAAUAUAAAAUGUUGACGUGGCUUAACCGUGACCGUACAAAAUAGGAAGGGAUGAGAAUGUAUGGAAACUGGGAGGGGCAGAGAAGCCGGGUCCAUUCCCCUCUCAUUUUUGUCUCACUUCAGUCAUCCCCCUCUCUAGUUUUGACUUUUCUUUUUUGUCUCCUACUUUCUCUCAUAUUUUGUCAUUGAGUCUCUCUCCUUAGUCUCAGUCUCUCUUAACGAGUUCGAUAUGUGAUGAGAAGGUCCCACUGUUUUACACAUUAAUAUUACUGUGAUGAUAUGUGUGCAAGAAACAUUGGACAACAACUCUACAAGCUGCUCUCAUAGAGAAAUUAGGCUCUUACAUGAGCAUAUAUUAUUUGAUGGAGAAAUUAGGCUCCCGUCCUUAAUUAUUGAUCUUCUUUGAUUAAAACCUUGUUAUUUUUUACUUUUUGAUCAAGGUCCUUGAAGUUUGUACACAUCAGCAUUUUAUUAUCAGCAUAUUUCCAUGUCAGCUUUUUAUUUUUAUUUUUAUUUGAAAUAGUUAAUUAGUGCUUUUUUUUUUAUCUGAGGCUGCAUUUUUAUUCUACGACUAUUAUGCCUCAAAUGCCUCCUAUGCUUACCAAAUUGAAUAUGACGCAUCAAUUCCACCAAAUAAUCCCGCUCACUUGAUUUCUUCUCUUUUUGAUUUUCGUAACUGCAAAUUCCACAAUAAUCUCACUAAGUUUUUCAAAUCCAUCAUUAUUAUCUUUGAUAUGAUGCUUCGAAUUCAAGUUUGGCCAAGAUUUGAAUCGAAGUCAUACUUUAUCUGCGAGCAUUCGAGCGAGCACAAUUUUUUGCAGAGUAACUUGAAGAAUCAAUGACAAUUCCGAGCUAAAAUUCGAGGUUUUUUUUUCUUUUAUAUUUUUUGAAUUUGCACCCAUAGUUCAUUUAUACUGAUUUGUCCGCAAUGGUGGAUUCUUGGUGUUAUAAUUUUCGAACCCAUAUUUACAAGUAGUGUAGUAUUGAUUUCACAAUUGGUUUUGCAUAUGUAAAAUGAUUAUUUUUCAAUAUUUUUUUGGCAUAUAUUGGGGAACUUCAAUGAGUUCAGCAUGUAUCUUGUGGUUUUGCAGUGUUUUUCUGGUGCAUACCAAGUGUUUGUCGAAAUGUUUGAAAGAGAAUUUCGUAUACGAAAAUUUUGUAUGCAUAGAAACUAUUUAUAAAAAUUCUUGAAUAUGUCUUUUUCUCUAUUGUGGUGGGCAUGGGUACAAUUCAAUUUCAUUGGAUACAUUUUUUAACAAUGGAUCAUGUGUUGAUGUGGUGGAAACUACUGAUGUUGUGGAAGUAUAGGUAGGGGUACAACAGAAAUAUAGACCAGAUAAGUCAAGGGAGGACCGGCUAUGGCCGAGAGUUUUUGUCAUCUAUUUUUCUGUUUGACAUAUACCGUAUUUGAGAGGUGGGGGGGGGGGUGGGGAAUUGGCUGUACAAACAGCAAAUAAUAAUGUUCGGUGGAAACUACUGAUGUUGUAGAAGUAUAGGUAGGGGUACAACAGAAAAACAGAGCAGAUAAGUCAAGGGAGGACCAGCUAAGGCCGAGAGUUUUUGCUAUCUAUUUUUCUGUUUAACAUAUACCGUAUUUGAGGGGUGGGGGGCGAGGUGGGGAAUUGGCGGUACAAACAACAAAUAAUAAUGUCCGGUGGAAAUUACUGAUGUUGUAGAAGAAUAGGUAGGGGUACAACAAAAAAACAAAGCAGAUAAGUCAAGGGAGGACCAGCUAAGGCCAAGAGUUUUUGCCAUUAUUUUUCUGUUUGACAUAUACCGUAUUUGAGAGGGGGGUGUGAGGGGAAUUGGCGGUACAAAUAACAAAUAAUAAUUGGACAUGGUUUCAUUCAUCUUUCUAGUUUUCCUUUUGGAAAUUUAUUGCACUUUUCAUGUCAAGCUAGAAUGCUUUGGGUUAAUGUUGUGUCCACUUUCUUUUAUCUUUUCAGAUGGAAGGUGCUAUAGUGGGGAGAUGCACUCAUCAGGGUACCAUUAUAUCUAUCCCAAUUUUUUGCCACAUUACAUUCUCUGAAGUGUACAAUGAGGUUUGCUCAAGGCUCAAUUUGACUCAUGGUUUAUUCGACUUUACAUAUGCUUUACCUAGAUAUUCUACUUGUCUAUUGCAAUAUAAUAUGGACGUGCGGAUGUUGUAUAUGUCGGUUGUCAACGAGAAAUAUUAUUGUGUUGAUAUAGUUAUCAACCAAAAGUCGUGCCGUGACAAUGAUCAUGUCAGCCGAAAUACCAAUGUUUCGCAAACAUUUAUAAUUGAAGGAAAUAUUCACAGCGAUGGGAAUGAGUAUUUAGGAAAUAUGCAACACCAGGAGGCAAGGUAUCUAUGUCAAACUCUUGGAAGACCUACAUUAAUCAUGUAAAUCAAGGAUUUGAAGGUGGAGUGGAAGAAUUCAGAGACAAAAAGAGAAGAAUUGGCAUAAGAAGACUUGAAUAUGUUGGACAAAAAGAGAAGAAUCAGCAUAAGAAGACUUGAAUCCCUAAGAAAGCAAGAACUUGGAAAACCUCUCAUUCCAAGCUCUAGGUGCUUGUUUGAGUCCAUAUAAAGAACUUUCCAAUUUACACACAUACUUAGGAUGUACAGGAUCCAAAAAACCUUGUGGUUGAGCCAUAUAAACUUCUUCAUCAAGAAAACUGUCGCACUCCGGACCCGGAGUCGGUAAUAAAAACUCGAACCCGAAUCUGAAACGUGAGUUAAAAGCUAAAUAAAUAAAAGGAAAUUGACACGAGUUGGAAAAAUAAACUCCUCUUAUUAAAAUAACUCCAAAAUCCUUACAGGAUGUACAAAAGUAAUAAAUUAAAAUCCUUAAAACUCUUAUCCAACACAGCUUCAGCUCGUCUAUCACCUGUCUUGCUAAAUAACAUCUAUCUUGCCAAAUAACUCAUCUAUAAAAUAAUAGGUGAGGGGUGAGCAACAACCACCGUCACUCAGUAAGUAGAAUAUGUAGUAUGCAAGUCAAGCAAUGCCUUUUUAUACACUAAAAAAAAUAGAAUAAUAAUAUCAAAGCCUUAACCACGUAAUUUCAUAUCACAUCAUCCCUUUACAUGUUCAUUACAUCCUUCAUAAAUUGUAACUCACCACGUGACCCCUACUGGCCUUUCCGCCCUAAUGUCCCCGUGUGCAGUUUACAUUUAUCCCUCGGAUUAAUGCAACACUAAAGUUCUCAUGCUCCAUGAACAUAUCCAAAUAAUCCACAUAUCACCAUAUUAAUAAUUCCAAAGGGAUUUCAACAAAUCCAACAUGCUUGACUUAAAAUAGAUAGAGAUUUAUAAAUAUAUAAAACCCACAAUAGUUUGUGGUUUUUAUUUAUCAGAAAAUAAGAAUAUUUUGAAACACAUUACAUAAACCACUCACCUCGAUAAUCCAAGCUUUGGCAAGACAACCUAACUAACAAUCUCCACACAACUAGCAUACUAACCUAAACUCUCUUUCUUGUCUCUCUGUAACCCGAUCUCUCUCCACACACACACACAUAUACACGGACAUACAUGCAUGGCUUCCUAGCAGCCAACAUAUGUUUCCUAAAGUGGUGAAUAAAAGAAUGAAAUGCAACCUCUAUUUAUAGUAGAAAGGGUCGGCUCCCUACAAUGUAAAAUAUAUUAUACGUAGGGAUAGAAAUGUAACUGACGAAUGGCCAGUUGACAAGUGGGUUUCAAGGUGUCGUUGUGCAUGGGGUAGAUGACUUAGGAUUAACACAUGUGGCUUUGCCAACAAUGGUGGAAGCUGGUGGUGUCAAUGGAAUCCCUCAAAACCUCACACCUCAUUGUAAAUAUAACAGUUGUCAAGAAAAUGAAGUGCUACGUGUUGGACUAUGAAGGAAGCCAUCUAAUUGUUGGACACCUCAAAGCAAAAUGGGAUAGACUUCAAUUGCAAGACUACACCUUGCUAAUUGUAAGAAACUAUCGACUAGAAGUUGACAGCAAAAUGCAAAAACUAAUAUGUAAUAUAUAUAUAUAUAUAUAUAUAUAUAUAUAUAUAUAUAUAUAUAUGGAAAAGAAAUACACAAUAUCAUAGUAGUUUCAAAAUACCAUACGUUCCAUAUUUUAAAAAUACGGGUUCUCACAAAAACCAUGAAGAAAUGCAUUUUUCACAUCCAAUUGGUUGAGUUUCCAGCCAUUUGUAGUAGCCAAGGACAAAACCAAUCGUACAGUUGUAAGCUUAACCACUGGACUAAAGGUUUCAUAAUAGUCGAGCCCAGCUUCCUGUGAAAACCCCUUAGCAACUAACCUAGCUUUAUACCGAGCUACAGAACCAUCGGCAUUCUUUUUGAUUUUGUAAAUCCACUUGCAGCCUACAAGGUUCUUGUUUGGAGGAAGAGGAACCAGUUUCUAGGUCUGUUGUUGAACCAAAGCUUGCAUUUCUUCCUUCAUAGCAGCCUGCCAUUCCACAGACUUGGAAGCUGCGGAAAAAGUUUGAGGUUCUGUGCUAGAGAGAUCACCACCAACUUUAGCCGAAAAAACUUUCUUUUUCACAAUACCAGAUUUCGAUCUGGUUUGCAUAGGAUGACUAUUAAGUGUGGACACUAGUACGAACUGUAAUGUAUCAACUUGAGAUGUAGAAGUGUUAGGAUGUAAUUCUGUAUGACUGAGAGACUGUGCAUCAGGUCCAGAAUGAGACACUUGUGUAGUUGAUCUGGGAGGAAGAGAUGCUUGAGGAGAGACAAGGUCACCCGUGUUAUUUGUUGAUGCUGAACUGGACUGAGUAACAGUAGGUGUUGAAUCUCUAGAACCCAUUAAUUGUGACAUUUGAGGUAAAGGUAUAGGUAUAACCAGAGGAUGUUCAAAAGUGUUAAGAUGUACAACAGCACUAGGAGUAGGAGAUGAUGCAUGACUGGAAGAAGAAUGUAAUAAUUUUGUACUAGGAAAUGAUGCAUGACUGGAAGAAGAAUGUAAUAAUUUUGUACUAGGAAAACUAUGUUCAUCAAACAAAACAUGUCUUGACACAAGAAGUUUAUGAGUGCUGAGAGAAAAACAAAUAUAACCCUUGUACUGUGAAACACACCCAACAAAUAUACAUUCUGUAGUUUUUGGAUCUAACUUAUUGCUCCUAUAAGGUCUCAUGGAAGGAUAGCAAGCACACCCAAAGACUCUCAAGUGUUCAAGUGUAGGUGGAGACUUAAACAGACAUUCAAAAGGAGAUUUCAUGUGAAUAAUAGGUGUAGGCAUCCUAUUGAUUAGAUAGGCAGUAGUGGCACAAGCAUGAAACCAAAAAUAAGAAGGCAUGGAUGCUUUUUGAAAUAAAGUAAUAGCAGUUUCCAACAGAUGCCUAUUUUCCUCUCAGCCAACCCAUUUUGUUCUGGGGUAUAAGGACAAGACAUUUGAUGAACAAUACCCUUAUCCCUAAGAAAUGCUUUGAAAGCUAAACCCACAUAUUCACCCCCACCAUCACUUUGAAGUGUUUUAAUAGUUGUAUGAAACUGAAUUUUAACAUAGGCAACAAACUGAGCAAAAACAGAUAGAACUGCAGCUUUAUUGAUAAUAAGGAAAACCCAUGUAUAUCUCGUAAUUUCAUCCACAAAGGACACAUAAUACCUAAACCCUUCUGAAGAUAUAAUUGGAGCAGGACCCCAUACAUUAGAAUGUAUUUCUUCAAAAGGAAGAACAUAUUUUGAAGCAACACUAGGGAAAGGUAAUUUGGAAAACUUGCCUUGCAAGCAAGAGAUACAUGUGGUUGAAUCUUUAUUACAGGGAAUAGAAAUGGAGGAAUUCCUAGGUGCUGCAGUAGUAAUAGCAUUCGAAUGAUGCCCUAACCUACAAUGCCAAAAUUCAAAGGACACAUUUUGACCCAAAAAUGCAGCUGGAGUAGGCAUUUGUGAUUUGGAAGACUUGAGAAUUGGAAUUGGGUAGACUGCGUUGUUACUCAGUCCGUGAUAUAACACUUUCCUGGUGACCUUGUCCUGUAUACAAAUAGAGAACUCAUCAACAAUACAGCGACAUGUGUUGUCUUUACACAAUUGGUACAUAGAAAGCAAAUCUUGAGACAAUUUAGGAACAUGUAAUACAGAAUUAAGCUGAAAUGUAUGCAAUUUGGUGGGGAAAACAGUGUUGCUAAUAUGAGUAAUACUUAAACCUUCACCACCAGCACCAAUGAUUGUCUCAGUUGAUGGAUAAGGAACUGCAGAUUGAAGAUUAGCAAUAUCUGAAGUCAUAUGGUUGGUUGCACCAGAAUCAACCAGCCAAAAAUCUUGGUGAGGUGCACUUGGAGACAAAUUGGCCCAGGCUUGCAUAUCAACAGGCUGAAAUGAGUGAUAUUGAAGAGGUUGCUGCACUAGUGAUCUAGAGGAAUAAUAACCAGAUGGAACUCCAAUAGAGGAAGAUGGAUGUACAUGAAACUAUUGAGAGGAAGAACUAGCCAUAGGAAACUGUGAGGAAGUGACUGAAAAAUGUUGUGAAGAAGAAACAUUCUUGUCAAAACAAGUAGCUGCAGCAUGUCCUUUUCUGUGACAGAUUUGACACCUAUUCUGAAAACAGUUGAGAGCCGAAUGACCUUUCUUGUCACAAAUUUGACAAAUUUGAAAAGGAUUAUAGGCUGAACCAGAGUGAGAUUGAAUAGGAAAGAAACUCUGAGAAUUAUUUGCACCAUACAGAGACUGUGGUGCAGAUUGAGAACUUGAGUAAAACCGUUUGCCCUUGCCUUUAGACUUGAAAUUAUUAUUACCUCUGAAGUUGUUAAAUAAACAAGAGGCAUAUUGAGAAGGGAAAACACACGGUGGAUUAUCAGGCAUAGUUAUCUGAAUAGGUACUGGAUGUGGAAAUCCAGGCAUUGACAAAGUUGAAAAUCCUGACAUAGACAUCUGGGAAUGAGGCAAAGAAGUCCCAAUGUGCAUUCCAGCAUGUCCCGAAGACUGACCUUGAUCAUAUGUAACUCGACCCUGAGCAUACAUAGCAGACAUUAAAGGAAUUUGCUUGUGAACUUCAUCUAGUGUAGAUUCUUCAGCCUUCAAUUGAGAUAUGAGUUCUUUCAAGGACACCAAACUUUCCCUGCCACGAAUUACAACUUUGAUGGUGUGGUAUUUAGAUGGUAAACCCCGUAAAGCCAUAAUAACAAUAUCUUCAUCAGAAAUAGUCACUCCAAUAGCAACCAAUUGAUCUUUAGAAUCCUUGAUCCGCUAAAGAUAUUGAUCAAUUGACUCAUGCCCUUUUUUAAUAUUUUGUAAGUCAAUUUUCAUCUGCACAAUGCUAGUACGAGUGACACUAGCAAAUCGUUCAUGAAGAUUAUCCCACAUUUCCUUGGAACUCUAGCAGCCAAUGAUGCAGGACAAUGCAGAAGUGGAUAAAGUAGCAGCAAUAAGAGUCAUGAGAGCUUUAUCAUGAAUCUUCCAUAUUUUAUAUGCAUCAGAGAUGACUGGAGUAAUGUCAACAGUACCAGCCACAUAAUUAUUAUCCUCAAAUUUCUUAGGACAAGAAAUUGAGCCAUCAACAAAACCAAUUAUACCAUUUCCUUCCAGAAGAAGAUCCAUUUGGAAAUUCCAGGUAACAUAGUUAGAGUUAUCUAAUUUCACUGUCACAAUGUUGCCUACACUCAUAAUUAAUGAGGAAAUUGGCAAUUGAGUAAGAGCCAACUGAUUAGGGUUCACCAUUGUGUAUAGCCAAGAUUACUUCACUACACAUAACACUUCAAAAUCGCCAAAUAAAAAAAACACAUAAAGCAUCACUAGGAUUCAAAAACCACAACCACCAGAUUGAAGGGAAAAAUAAUGAGAUUCUAGAAUGGGAUUUCAAAUAGACUAUCAUGCAUAUACAAAUCAAAUUGAAUAUACGAAAGCAGCAGAAGCAUUUAUAACAUAUUAUCAAAGCUAUAGUCAUGCAAAUCCCCUUCAAGGUUCAUAGGUUUAUAUAGACAAAAGAAACCUAGUCAACACUUGACUAAAUAUCUCACCCUUUCCACCUUAAAGUGGCCGGCCUCAAAACAUUUUAAAGAAUCAAGAACAAAGUGAAGGUUAGUCUUAUACCUCUUGAUCUAGACUUGAGACCAAGGAUGGACCACCUCCAAGCCCUUUGCUCCUUGAAAUCCUUGAGCCUAGCUUCCCUCCUUGCCUCCUCCACUUUGAUAAAAUGAGUGCUCCUAGGUUCUCUUCAAGUUUCCAAAGUAGGAAACCUCUAAAGAUCCUCACCCAUUAGUGUAGUGAGAAGGAUGAAGGAAUAACCAAAAGGGUGUAAGAGAUGUUAGUAAAAACCCCCUUUGGUGGCCGGCCUUUGUGUAGUUUAGAGAGCUAUUUUUCUUUUGCCUCUUUGUUGUUUUUAACACACAAAAACCCUAAUGAACAAUAUCUUAUAAAGUUCCUUAUAUAGACAAAAGAAACCUAGUCAACACUUGACUAAAUAUCUCACCCUUUCCACCUUAAAGUGGCCGGCCUCUUUGUUGUUUGUUUGGGCUUUGGGCUUUUAUUAUUUCAAGUCAUCCAAUGCUUGAAUAAAAGCCCAAUGGAUUUAGGCCCAAUGGGCCCAAUUAAACCCGAACGUUUCUUAAGCCCAAAACGAUCUUUAUCGCUUUUAUGAUUUCUUUAGACUUUCUAAAUUAAUCACAACAAUCAAUUAAUCCAAUUAAUUAUUUCCAUCAUCCAUUAGUUACUCACUACAAUAGUGUUGUGGCGAACAAUCUUUUAGGUUCUAAUUAGCAAGGCAGUGAGGUGAUUGGCAUCAAUCCAAUUGCUUAUAUUUAAUUCAAUCACUUAGUGAAUUAAAACUUCAUUUUAAUUCACCUUUCUUCUUUGACGACUACAUUUAAUCAUCUAGAAGAACUCACAAGCUAUGAGUGACAUCUAACCAUAUGUCAUAGCUACCCAAACUAAUGUAGAAGUUUAUUCGAAGAACCUAGUCAGUUGGAAUUAUAAUGUAAUUCAAUCCUUCUCUAAUUCAAUACUCUCAAUCACAUCAUUAGGGUAUGGAUAUAUCAUGUCAAACCCCUAAUGUGAUUAUUCCUUCUUAUAUGAUCCAAUUGAGUCGUAUAGGAACGCUUUCCUUUAUUACGCUCGAUACUUCGGCCGAAGAUUCCCGAAUCAUAUCUUAGAGUAUUCUUCCUCUCUUAUCGAGGAUUAGAGAUUCCUUGUUGCGCAUACACUUGCCUUCAUGACUAAGUGGCUUAACCACAACUAUGCCGUUGACAUUCUGAUAGAGUGACGUUGACAUAAUCAAAGAUUAAGUACUUAACCACAAGACAACGGCGAUGCCUCAGGUCAAAGGACUACUUACAUUAUUCCAACCAUUAGAGUUACUUGCUUGACAUGUGAGUAGACCUCCAUGCAAGUACUCUCUUUCGAUUGUGUUCAGUGAACUCAUUCCCUUAAUGAGCACCUACAUACUUGUCUUAGUGUCACAACACGAAUGGGAUGAGACUUUCCAUCCUUCCAAUUGAAGCGGACACAGUAUGUACCGGUCUAAGCAUUGUCAGUAUCCCUCCGACAAUCCAACGACCAGGAACCUUUUGGACAUAAUGGUUAUGUGAAGAAGGUCUCUGUAGUCUAACUUCAUUAGAUUACUUCUUCAAUCGAUCCAUUGUCCAUGGAUUCACUAUUCAGGACAUAUAUUGUUUAUUGAGAUAGUCCUAAUUAGUUUCUUUGCCAUUUGAUGUAUAAGAAUCAUCCAUACAUCGAUUCAUUUGUCCUGAAAGAUUUCUUCCAAAGAUUGACUUUCAGGGCAUAUUUCCAACACAGAUAGCCGCAAAUCUUUGAACAUGCACAAUAUUGCAGAAAGAACACAACAAUUCGAAAGAAGCACAAGUACGAAAUCGAAUCAGAAAGUAGAGAAUCACAAUUAACAGAUGCAAGAGAGAGGAAGAAACACCUUGCAAGCGACAACAACGAACGCAGAAGUAACCAUCGGCUUCUACCAUGACUGUACACCAAAAUCCGCAAAUCUUAGGGUUUGAGCACCAACUUCGAUCGAACACCACUGACUUCAAUCGAAACACCACCGACGUCAAUCACCACUAACAACACAGCACGGAGCGACAAAAAAAGCAAGAGAUGAGCGGAAGCAACCAGGUCGUCAAUCGAUGACGGUGGCCAUGAUAGGCGAUGAUACCAUGUCAACUAUGAAGAAUUGUAGGAAGCAAUUGUAGAGUGAGAAAGUUAACAAACAGGAGAGAGAUACUGAAUAUUCUUUUUCUCAUUAAAAACCCGAUAAUUACACUUCAAUGUGGUAUAUAUAGUCUAUACCAGAGAACAACAAUUCUAACUAACUUUAUAAAACAAUCAAUUACAAUAUAAUACAUGUCACAUAUCCAACCAUUCUAUCAAUACAUCUGUCAUCCUAACAGCGACCUUAGGUUCAGAUGCAUUCACUGAAGUCAUUGUAGGUGCCAUUGGUGGAGGGAGAUUGAAAGAAGCUGAGAAUUCUAGUCUUUAAUUUGUAUGUCUAGAAGGAAAGUUAAUUGUUUGAGUGGUGUGGAGAAAUAUGGAAAAGGGAGUUGGUAUUUAUAGAGCAGGAUGGCAAGAUAAUAUAUGACCGACUUUAGUCGUGAGAAGUAUUUACAACGCAAGCACCCUUAUGGUCUUAACCCCAUAAGGUGGAGGUUUUUGAAUAAGUUGGCUAACGAUGACCUAAGUUUCAAAUUUGUUGUCCAGCUGCAACAAUAAAAUAUAUAUUAGUUUGUUGUUAACCACCAUGUAUAUGGAAAAUAUUAAUUCUUUAAAGACCAUGUAACUACAUUUAAAUUAUUUCUCUAAUAGAGAUGAGACACACUUGUUAGCCUUAUUAGGUUAUACAAUUAAGACACAAACGAAAGAGUGACUGACCUAAUUCCAAUGGCGGCCAUGGAAGUUGAAACCAAAAGUAGUAGAGCACGGCAACACCAGGAUCUUCUAUAAGCUACAACUACUCUAUGGGAAGCAUUGUAUUGUGUUAUCUAAGGCUUAUAGGGACCGGUGUUUAUAUAUAUAGGCUAAAAGAUAGGGUUUCCAUCCAUAAAGGAAAUCUAAACUUACUUUCUUAGCCUCUAAGUUAAGUAUCAUAAUUAUAAUCAAUUAGGGAUUCCAUCAAUCCUAUUUCCAAUAUAAGACACAUGAUAUAUGAUUAAUAUCUUUAAGAGAUCGAAUCAUAAUCAACAUUAUUUCUCCAAUAUGACAUUCCUAUUACAUGUAGUAGACCAGUUAAAGGUUGAUUUGUAUUGGAUAAAUCCAACAUUCUCCCACUUGGUCUACAAAAUGUAAUAUUCAUGUUUAUACUUGAGAUUGGAUACUAAUGUCUCUUUAGUGGCCAUGUAAUAGUGAUUACAUCUCGUCCUUAAUGCAGUUUCUGUCAAAUGCAUUUCUCAACAUGGAACUAACAAGGUUGUAGGGUUGACACAAUCUAGAACCUUCAUAAUCACACAUGCUAAGAUCCUCAUUCACAUGAAACACAAAUUAUGAUCAAGAGAUGAAACUUUAAAUAAACUUUAAGUUAACCAAAAUGUCUUACUUUAUAUCAUCUCAGGUCCAUCUUAUUGUAACACACAGGUUACACUUUUACACUUCUUCGAAGCCUUAAAUCUGCCAAUGCAGAUAUCCUUCAUCUAAUGAAACCACCAUAACCUGUAGGCGUGAAUACAUCUCAAAACAAUCUCACUUCACUUUCAUUAGACCAAUAACAAGCACACAGACAAUGUUUGAAGCCAACGGACACAACUAAAAGUACCAAAUAGGCACAUGUCCAAGUAAAAUACCCAGAAGCUUCGUAAAACAAACUAAUCCAACACUUAUAAGUAGAUGAAUUAACAUGUUUUUGACAUUGAUCUAUGCACUUUACCAGUUACUUUAAUGGUGAUUUCCAACACCUGCGAGCAGAUUGAAAUCCUCACAACUGACGCAUAGACCAUGCCAUGCCAUUUAGUAUGCAGUUUGAUAACAACUUGAUAUCCAACAUAUGUUUCAUCAGAUAAAUGACUAGCACACAAAAAAUGUGACUUAAUGAAUCUAGCUGAAGAUUAAACUGAAUACAUGGAUUCUAUAUAUACCUUAUAGGUCAUCUGCAAAUGUAAGGCAUUACUAACACAAAACUCAACCUCCCACUGAUCUGCAACAUCAUUACUUAAUUUGCUAGUCAAUACUUAAAUCAUAUUUUUGAAAAUAUGCCUUUGGGAAUAGCCUUACUUGGUCAAUGAAUGCAUAUUAACUCAAUGAAAGGUACAACUAAGCAUGGAAGCAUUCACUGCUGUUACACAAAAACAUGCAUCUAACAACCAUCUUAUAUGUAUUAAUAAGUCCACAUUUAUGCUAAGUCCUUGUGAGCCUCAAAACAAAUGAUCAACCAAGAAAUCCAAAUGAUUGCAAGUAAUAGAAAAAUGUACGCAUAUACCAAGUAUCCAUUCGUGCAACUUAAACAUAUUAUAGAUAUUCGAGUAACACAAAUUCAUGGAAGAUAGAAUAACGCUUUAAUAGAUUCAUGCAAGUCCACUUAAUGCUCACAAUUUUAGAACAACUCCCACUAAGUUUUCAGAGUUUAUACUUGCAAAUAAGUUAACGAGUGUAAAGCCCAAUUUUUUUCACUAAUUCUCCCACUUGGGUAAACACUCUUUCAAGUAUGUACCUAAAUAAAAUUGCCUUAUAUUUUAGACGUAAUAAAAUAGACAUUACAAUCAACAUAAAGUUGUCAAACAGAAUUUUCAGCAACAAGUUACACUUUAUUUAGAAUUAAUCAUAAUUAAUUUAUAAGCUUGAUUGAUACCAAAUUUAUACUGAUCAAAAUAGACAUACAAAUCUUCAUAAGACAAAAAUAUGGAGCUGUUUUGGGUCAAAGUAGUAGUCUAAAGUGACGUCUCAAAAAGAUCAACACAAUAUGUCAGUAAAAACUGUCUAUAUGAGCAUGGGUUACUAGUAAAUUCACCAUAAUUAACAUACAUGGCAGAAAAUUACGAAAAUUUGCAGACACAUAGUAGACAUCUAUAUGUUGAACAUAUCCAAAAUUCAGUUAACUUGGUGACCAUUAGACGUGUCAUUCAUCCAAUUUAAUUCAAGUCACGUAAUCUGCCAGAAACAAUUAUGUUCAUCUAUCAUGAAUUUAUGCAUCCAUAACAAAUUCAAUUUCAUAUCAUUUCAAUUUCAAUGUCCAAAAGAAACUUUAGUAGUCAAAUUUCAUCGUCUCAACCGACAUCAUAAUUCAAAUUGAAAAGAUUUACAAGCAUAAGAUUUAAACAAUGCGUACCUUAGCAAUCCUUGAUUAACCUUCAUGGGUCCAAUACUUUGCAUCAACAAGUCUCAUGAAGAGACACAAAAUACGUCAUGAUGCAACUGAUUUCUAUGCCUUAAAACCACAACCUAUUAAGGCCAAAAGCCUCACGCGCCCACGAUGAAUAGGGGGGGGGCUUUGGCCAAAGAACCUCCGAUGCCAAAGUUAGAAUUUUAGAGAGAAAAAGUGUUUAGAGUGUUUAGGAUUUUUUGUAAGAGAAUUGGAAUUGGCUUUUUGGUGAGAAAUGAGAGUAUAUUUAUAGGGAUAGGAGGUGGCUAGGGUUUUUUGGGUUUGAUUUAGGUUUAAUUAGCCAAUUUAUUUUGCUAUUAAACAUAAAAUGAAUGUUUUGGUGGUUUUUUGUAUAAUUGGCUAAUCAAUGUCACAAAAAAGGAAAAUUAUGGUGAAAAAAGAAGGAAAUGGCCGGCUCCCUUUGGAGAAGGGAUAACCGGCCUUUAGGGUGAUUUUUGGGCUUAAUUUGGUGAUGUAAUUAGCCUUUAAUAUAUUGAUUAUAUUAAUUGGUUGAGGAUGUUAUGGAAUGUUUGAAAUAAAUGGCUAAUUGAAUAAGGAAAAAAUGAGGUAAAAACAUAUAUGGAAUAAAAUAGGUUUUGAAUUGUUACCCAUUUUGGGUACUCCUGACUUGGUUGAUGGAUGAUUCUCCACUGCUCGGGUGUAGGAAACCCAGUAUGCCUCGAGGGUAUUUUUGUCCUCUUUUGUCCAAAAGUCCAUGUGUCGCCUAGUGAAUAUUUUUGGCUCCACAAAUGCCCCCACACCUGUUGGGCUGCUCGCAGAAAAGGGCAGCAGGUGUAGAGAUCUUCUUGCUUUAGGAAACUUAAGACUGCUUCCUAUUUUGAUGUAUAUUCUCUCUUUAAUAGGAAAUUAGAUCCUUCUAGGAAAGGGAAAUAAAUUUCUCUCAAAGCCUAUUUAAAUCCACCUUAAGUGGGUUAUUAAAUCAACUUUGGAGAGCGAUUUAUUCUACCCUACAAGAGAGAGAUGGCUUAGAGGAUAUUUGUUCCCCCUCCUCUAGCAAUCUUCUACAUCUUGCCCAUGCAAAGGACCGUAUUUCGUUGAUUUCUUCGUCUUCUUCGUGGAUGGUGCUACCGCGGGGCAGCCGUCGGGGUGGUGCGGCACGUCGGCUGGCAUGGGCCAGGAGUCGACUCGGUAUGGGCCGAUGAGGUAUUGUGGUAGGGACCACUGCUUUAAGCUGCUCGACUUGGCUAGAACCAAGGGCAGCUUGUGUGGCUGGGGCCUCGGAUUGUGGCACUGGGGCGCAGUGCUAGGCAAGUCAUAUGGCUUAUGUCCUUUUAGGCUUUUGGACAUGACGCGAGUUAGGCCGGUGAUUGAGAGAAAUGAAGAGGUUGCAGUCCUCAUGAGCUGCUAGAAUGUUGGGUUGAACUUCCCUGCUAGGUACCACGAAUGACAUUGGUUAUUUUAACUUUUUUCGUCAGGAGAAACGUGGGCUGCUCCCAAAAGAGGAGGUGAAUAGGAUCAAAGUGGAUGUACUGGCUCGUCCAAUCACCAUUGUGGAUCCCGCUGCAACUGAAGGUGGGAAAAUGGAUAUUCUCUGCUUGCUCAAGAGAUGCCGGCUGAGAAAAAACCAAAGACUUCUUUCGCUGCUCGAGCUGGUUCGCCGACUACUUCCAGGCUUGUGAUUGACUUGACUUUUUCCAAGGGGACAAAAAAUGAGGCUUCUAGAUCUGAGCAUGUGGCGCCUGCCAUGUCAAGAAUGGCUAGUACGAUUGCUGAUAGGAUUGUUCGGCAUAAAGGUCUUGUCAUGCCCUUAGUGCCGAAUUUUGUACCAAGACGUCUGUUGGGAGCUAAGUCCAGUUCACCUUUGGAGAGGCUUGCUAUUAUGAAAAGCGAUAAGGUGGACUCUACUGCUAAAGUGGCGUCAAGGCCCAUUCCUUAGCUGCUGAGACUGAUUCGCCUGUUGGGAAUGAGGAGACUGCUCGCGUAGGCAGCUGUGAGAAAUCCACUAAACCUGCUUCUGAGGAGGCUGCUGAGAUCUAUGUGCUUUUGAAACCAGAUCUCUUGAAAACAUGGAUGCUUGUGCCAAGUUUGUUGAUGACGUCAGAAAGGUUGUUUGCCCAAGCUCGUUUGCGAAGCAUACGACCCAAUAUAGAAGGACCGCUCUGCUUGUUAUGAUGCAAAUAUAGCAAGGCUGCUAAGGAGAUGGCAAAUACUAUGGCAGAUUCUAAGCUCGUUGCUUUGAAGGGGUCUAAUAUUUCUGCCCCCACUUCUCUCAGAUUCAAGAUCUUAAGUUUGCAGUUUCUGAGCUUCGUUUCGCUGCUUAUGCUAAGAAAUGAGUGGAUGAGCUGCAGCGCGUCCGUGUUAGUCUGCUUAAGAAGAAUGAGCAGCUGAAGGGUGAGAAGGAUGGGCUUGAGGUUUUAAGACCUUCUCUAUUUCUCCGGAAGACUUGCUUGCUUUUACUUUUAAGGCUUCCAUUGGUGAAGUAGUUGGAGAAGUUAGUGCCCAGGCUGGGGCAGCCGGGGGUGAAGCGCCGGAUGAUGCCGCUGCUAAGAGCGUUACGGCUGCUGAAGGUGUGGCGACCGAGUAGUCGUGGGAUGUCCAAGCUGCUGUAGUGUAAUAUUCUAAGUAGCCUUUAGGAUUUUCUUUGUUUUUCCUUAUAGCUCUUGUUUUGCUUGAACUCCUUCGGCCUUUGCUAGUUAUUUAUAAACAUGUUUUCCUUCGUUUUUCUUCAUCUUCGCUUCUUUUGUUCAUGCCCUAACCUUUAGACUUGAUAGACCAGUGGCAGGCAUGCUACUUUUUUAUAAGCAGACAAGCUCGCGUAGCCUAUGCAGCCGUAGAUGUUGGUGUAGAACUUUGCAAAGUUGUUAGCCAUAGGGUUGGCAGCCGGAUGCCUUACUUACAGAAGCAGAUAAGUCCGCGUAACCACUAGGCUGUUAACCUUGACUUUCUUCAAUUCCGUAGGUUGCGUAGCAAGUAUCACAACACUUUAGGACUUGGUGUAGGUUGUUCCGCGCUUGACAGAGGUGAAGCUUAUCGACUACGUAGCAUGUCGGCAGUGGAUAAAACUUCGUAUAUGCGCGCUAGCUUGUUUAACCUUUCACAAGAAUGUGCGGUUGUAUAAGUCUAGCGCUGCUUUACAGCUCGAAGGGCAAGCCGUAGGCAGUCUUCCGGAAUCCGUAGGCUACCUUAGUGCACUCGGUAGCAGCUUUAGGGUUCCAGGGCAGCCGUCUAUAGGGCGUACUACGUAAUGUGCCCCCUCCGUCUCUAGGGCCCGAUUCCCCACGGAUUAGGCCAAGAGACCCAAAAUCCUUCAGUUAGCUAAGCCUUGAAAAAGACCAUUGUGGCUACUUCUAGGAAUCCCGGCGCAAGCCAUCGUGCAUCUAGUUACACUAGGGCAGCCAGGCUCAUCCACGUCUGGAUAUUCGGAGUGUAAAGUUUAUCCUCCCAUCUUGGAGAGCUAACCCAUAUGGGUGUCGGGGAAUUGGUUUACCCUCUCGCACUGGAGAGCAUGGUUGGUCCCUCGGGGGGCACAAUUCUUGCGAUGAGUCCCUAAGAAGGGCGCAGUCUUCUUUUGAAAUGCAUAAGUGAUUAGUUGUUGUAAGCAUGCAGCCGAGCCAAGUUGUGAUUACUUCUAAAUUCCUCAUUGAAAAACAAGUGAAACGAACGAGAAUUUAGCUGUAAGGUAGGAAUUGCAUAACAACUGGAUAGUCCUCAGCUUGUGAGGUGGUGCCCGUCGAGCUUUUUGAGUCUUCGGGCUUUGAUGUAGUGGGAGGUCACACACAGUACUUCUUCAGAUUGUAGGCGCUCCACUACUUUUCGAUCAUUUUAUCGUUUCAUGGUGGCGAGGGUGUAAUUACUCUUGCCGCCUACUCUGCUGAUUUUGUACGGACCUUCUCUAUGGGCAAUGAUGAAGGCUUUUCUUAGGACUAGAUCUCUGGGCUGGAAUUGCUGCUGGUAACCUGCGAUGCGAGUGAAGUCUACUCGCACUUCUCCUCUGCCAGAUUUAAGCUUGUGGCCAUCUCAUUUCGGUUGCUCGUCUUUUGGUGGUGCGAUAUGCCCAUAGACAUCUAGGGAGUUCAUCUGGCCAUUUUCUUUUCUUAUUGGUGGAGGAUUUCUUGUGACAGUCGAGGAUCAUCUUGGUGGAUACUUUGGCCCGCCUAUUGCCUUAAGAAUAUCUUGGCGUAGACAUGUGCUGCUUGAUGCCAUAUUUUUGGAAGAACUUCGCCAAAUCUUUGCCCAUGAAUUACGGGCCGUUGUCGGUGACGAUGGAUUAAAGGAUGCCAUAUUGACAAAUGAUGUUCCUCUAUAUGAAACGCUCUAUGUCCGUCUGAAUCGUGGUCAUCAUGGACUUUGCUUCUACCUAUUUGGUGAAGUAGUCGGUUGCCACGAUCGUCAUGCCUUUGCCCCCAGUAGUCUGGCUGGUGAUUAGCUGGGAAUCGGAAUAAAUUGAAAGCUUUUCACCGCCAAGUCUUUUGUCAUUCGAAAGCCUGCUAGUAGGGCUUCAUACUCUGCUUCGUUGUUAGAUGCUUUGAAGCUUAGAGUGAUCGCCUACUCGAGCAUUAAAACGUCUGGGGUGGUAAGAACCACGGCUGCUCACGAGCUUUUGUAGUUGGAUGCGCUAUCGACAUGCAAACGCCAGAAAUCUCCAUUGAGGGAGCAGGUGUGGCUAAAGUGUGCUCAGCUGCCUUCGGGACGCCAUUGGGCCGUUCUGUUGCAUUGUCAAGGCUAGGCUUGAAGGCGCGGUAGGGAGCCGUGGAGCUGGGGCCAUGUUACAUGUAGCAGGAGAUGCUCAACUUCUGGUAUUAGGCCACUCUAGAGUUGAAUCUUCUGGGGCGACGAGGACAAAACUUGCUUCUGAGUGUUCCUUCUAGUGUUCGUCUACCAUUGACGUGUCUUUUGGGCCGAGUUGUUAUGUUCGUCAGAAAACUUUGCAUCAGCCAGGGUCUAUGCCUUUAUCGUCGCAGGUUUGGAUUCGGCGGAAUAAUGCGUCAUGAUGAUGACUGCGUGCAUUUGAAGGUAAAACUUAAGCUUUUGGGUUACAACAACUAUCGCCAAAGUUAGCUUUUGAAUUUUUAAUAGCAUCGAGAAGAGCUUUUGAACUGUAGAAUACAGGUAACUGUAGAAUAUAGGUAGUCAGGCCCCAGCUCUUCUCGCAUGAUGGUAGAGCUUAUUGCUACUUUAGAUACCGUCAACAUGCGAAUAAGUCCUCCGUUGCUACUAUGGAGGUGAUGUCGGGUACUUCUUCAAGUCCUUGAAUGUGCAUUGGCGAUCCUCAUCCCAGAGUGCAUGCUUCUCUGCCAAAGCAAAAGAGUCUGCCAAAGUUAGAUCUUCUUUCAUGAUCAAUUUUCCGAGUAGAGGGUGGUCUGCUGGAAGUCCUUUUUGGAAGGCUGCUCUAGCUAUCGAGUCGUUGCAUCCGACUAUUUUUGCCUUCUCUACUUUGAACCUCCUCACAUAGUCGCGAAGCGACUUCUUUGGGUUCUUCUUGACGUCGAACAAAUGGUCAGACUUCUUUUUGAUCGAGCGAUAUGAUGAAUAUUCUCUGGUGAAAACCAAAGAAAGUUCGUAGAAAUUUCGGAUGGAUUGUGGCGGCAGGGUGUAAAACCAAUCUUGCGCCUCGUCUUGUAGAGUGGUGGCGAAUAUCUUGCACAUAAGAUCAUCGUUGUUUGGAUAAAGGAUCAUUGCGCUUCGGUAGCGCUUCAAGUGUCUCUCCGGGUCUUCAUCCCCUUUGAAAGAUGUGGAAUGUGGCAUGCUGAAAUCGCGUGGAGGCUCUGCCUGCUCGAUCUCGUCCGUGAAGGGUGACCUUCUUAUGUUGGUCAUGUUCCGUCGUAGUGCCUCGUCGGUGACCUCGUUACGUUGGAAAUCAUGCAAUCGUUUGGUCAAAAGUCUUUCUACUUCAUCCUGAAUUUGCCUUUGUUGGGGUAGCGGAGCUCUCGGCUGCCCACAGCCAUGACUUGUUGGUCUAGGCUGCUCUUCCAUGUGUUUGGCUCGUCUAUGCCGCGGAUGCAGUGCAUAUGGUGCGUUCCUAGCAGGCCAACGAGUUCUUCGCAGGUUGCUGGUUGAACUUGAGCUGGAUUGAGUGACUGCUUUUCUCCGUCCGUCGGGCUGCCUACUCCGAUGUGAGGUGGAUGAUGCUCCUUGCGGGUUUAGCCGCAAAUGAACACUUCGCCUGGAAGGCUGCUCAUAUUGGCUAUUGGAGUGUGACCCUAACCAUGAAUGUAUGCUCGUUUGUGGGCCUAGUCGAGAGUGCACGCUCCUCCAUGCUCUAAGAUGGGAGUAUACGCUAUCUCGGGGGCCCAAUCAGGAGUGUAUACUGCCUGAACGCUCCGUUCGUUGCUGGUCGAGUGGCUGCUUACCGGGACGCUGCUGGAGAGGUUCUUUGUCUGCCCUUGUCCUACUUCGGAACAUCUCGUCUGGGGCACGUUGCAUCUCGGUGCGUUGCAAGAGCCGGUUCACCAAGGUCGUCUGCUGUGCGAGGACGCUUGUCAACUCUAUGACCUGUCGUGACAAGUGUUGUUCUCCAUUUGGGUUGGAAGAGCUUGGAAGGAAUGUGCCUCCUUGGGCAAUGGAAGAGUGGUAGACUCCGGGCACGAGAUUUGAGUUGGGAAAUGUCAAAUUCGUGAAAAAAUAUGGUGAGAAUGCCCCCGGCUCGAUGGUAGGUCCGGAUGGUUGAGAUAGUCUUGGGCCGACUUGGGCUGCUUGGAAAACCACUGGAGCAGGAUGGGCCGUGAGAGUGGGCUGCUCGACGGAAGCAGGCUGGACCACGGGAGUGGGCUGCUCGUCGGGAGCAGGCUCGGUCACGAGAGCAGGCUGCUUGGCAGGAGCAGGCUGGGCCACGGGAAUGGGCUACUCGACGGAAGCAGGCUGGGCCACGGGAGUGGGCUGCUGGACGGAAGCAGGCUGGACCACGGGAGUGGGCUGCUCGUCGGGAGCAGGUUGGGUCACGAGAGCAGGCUGCUUGGCGGGAGCAGGCUGGGCUGGGAGAGCAAGUUGCUUGGCGGGGGCAGGCUGUUUAGUAUGUGAUGCAUGCGAAUGCGAGGCUUGGGCCCAGGCCUAUGCAAACUUGGAUGGCACGACUUGGGCUGUGGCCUUGGUGCCGUAAGCCUUGGAUGACACUGCUCGAGCCGUGGUGAAGGCUCCAUGGACCUCUCCACGGGUGGCUACUGAGGUAGCCACCGUGGUGGUUCCCAUGGUGGAAACUCGUGGUGGUGGUGCUGCUCCACUUAUUGUCGCAUUUAGCCUCACGGAUCUCCGCAAUCCCAUUUCUUGAACAUUAGAAUUUUCACUUGUGGAAAUUUCUAAAUUUCUAGCCAUUAUAUUUUGCUUAUACGUUUUAUCAAAGAACCUUUGCAAGUAAAAAAAUUCUAAUAAUAAGAAUGUAUGAAAAAUUUUCAAAUGGACUAGAAAAUAAAGAAAAAACCUUUUUGUGCGAGAGUCUUCUACGAGUAUGGAUUUCAACUCUCAAUGAAAGCACCAAUUUGUGGAUGCAAAUUUUCUCCUCUUCGAUCUUGGACGAUUUUGCACCUACAAAACAACUAGCACCUUAGGUUAAGGCCAAAAGCCUCACGCGCCCACGAUGAAAUGGGGGGGGGGGCUUUGGCCGAAGAACCUCCGAUGCCAAAGUUAGAAUUUUAGAGAGAAAAAGUGUUUAGAGUGUUUAGGAUUUUUUGUAAGAGAAUUGGAAUUGGCUUUUUGGUGAGAAAUGAGAGUAUAUUUAUAGGGAUAGGAGGUGGCUAGGGUUUUUUGGGUUUGAUUUAGGUUUAAUUAGCCAAUUUAUUUUGCUAUUAAACAUAAAAUGAAUGUUUUGGUGGUUUUUUGUAUAAUUGGCUAAUCAAUGUCACAAAAAAGGAAAAUUAUGGUGAAAAAAGAAGGAAAUGGCCGGCUCCCUUUGGAGAAGGGAUAACCGGCCUUUAGGGUGAUUUUUAUGCUUAAUUUGGUGAUGUAAUUAGCCUUUAAUAUAUUGAUUAUAUUAAUUGGUUGAGGAUGUUAUGGAAUGUUUGAAAUAAAUGGCUAAUUGAAUAAGGAAAAAAUGAGGUAAAAACAUAUAUGGAAUGAAAUAGGUUUUGAAUUGUUACCCAUUUUGGGUACUCCUGACUUGGUUGAUGGAUGAUUCUCCACUGCUCGCGUGUAGGAAACCCAGUCUGCCUCGAGGGUAUUUUUGUCCUCUUUUGUCCAAAAGUCCACGUGUCGCCUAGUGAAUAUUUUUUGCUCCACACCAGGAACUUCUAUAAACUCCUAGCCGAAUACAACUACUAUAUGGGAAGCAUUGUGUUGUGUUAUCUAGGGCUUAUAGGGACUGGUGUUUAUAUAUAUAGGCUAAAAGCUAGGUUUCCAUCCAUAAAGGAAACCUAAACUUACUUUCUUAGCCUCUAAGUUAAGUAUCAUAAUUAUAGUCAAUUAAGGAUUCCAUCAAUCCUAUUUCCAAUAUAAGACACAUGAUAUAGGAUUAAUAUCUUUAAGAGAUCGAAUCACAAUCAACAUUAUUUCUCCAAUAUUACAUUCCUAUUAUAUGUAGUAGACCACUUAAAGGUUGAUUUAUAUUGGAUAAAUCCAACAACACUUGUAUUAAAGACCCUAUAUCUAUUCAAGAGAGGUUUAUUGUGGUCUUCAAAGAAAAAUGUCAUAGGGAUAUUUAGACCAUAUUUGUAAAUGAUAUGAUAUGUGAACAAUAAAAAUAAGUUCGUUAAUCAAACACUUAAGUAAUAAAAUAAUCAUUGACAUUGACAACCACAUCAUGUUUAUAUAUAUGGUCUCUUUAGCAUUACUCAAUCUACAAACUGUGGUCUUCUUAGCAUCACCCUCUUUGUAAUAGAAGUAGAGUCCACCAUAUGUAGUAGGUUGCACUUCUAUUAUAAAGAUGAGAUAAAUGUGGUCUCUAAAAUAUUAGCUCCCCAGCAUAUUUCUAUGCAAUAAUCAUAGUCCCACUAGAACAUAGGAAAACCAAAAUUUAACAAUAGGGAACUGCCUAUAGAUAUGUUAUAUAAUACUACUACAAAAUUUGACCAUUAAUUGGUGAACAUACUAAGUAAAUUUACAUGCUGUAAGUAGUUAAACUAAUAAAAUAGUGAAAAUAUGCUUUAUUUUGUUUUAUAUUCCUAAAGAUGGAGGGGAGAUGGGGAAAGUAGAUGCAUGAAUGUAUAGUUGAUGAGAAAAUUAGAAAAAUGUAGGAAAGCAUUUGGUAUGGGGUUUAAGGAAAUCCAGUGUCGCGUCCAGUUUGAGACUUUGGCUACGGCAGAUAAGCCACUGAAGGUAGCACUACAUCUUCAUGUGCCCCACCCAUUAACCAACCAAUGUGUUCCCUCGACGACGUGAAUAAUUCGUCUCACAACAAGCCGGUCACCACAGCCAAGUAAAAGAAUAUGAAACGAAAUAUGGCACAAACUAACAAACACAAUCGCGCAUCGUCAUCUGGACGCAUCUACAAUUCCAAAUCUAAAUUACCCACCAGUAGGGAACAGAUUCUUUAUGUGCCCAGUAAUAUUGGAAUCCCGUUUUAUAAAACCUAGUUAAUUGGGUGCAAUUAUUAACACUUUAAAAAUUGUUGUGCACUUUUUAUAAGGUUUUUUAUUUUUUUUAUUUUUUUUUAUUAUUAUUUUUUUUACAAAUAACAUUUUACAGUAUUCAUAUUAAAGGGAAAAGUUUAAACUUUGGACGAAAUUGGUUGAGAAGGAAGACCUAACUAUUAAGAGCAUCACUAAUGAAGGCCUUAUCCUCCUUUUCUUUUAGGGCUACUAUAAAUGUAGCACUAGUGAGAAAUUUCAUCCCAAUGAAACAAGAAAAUUGGUCUACAUCCACCACAUGGGCUAGUAUCUUCCUUGAAUAGUAAAAAAUUAGACUAUAUGAAACUUAGGAUGAGAAUGAUGCAAUCCAUAUCUAUAUGAAACCUCUCUUUUGUUUGGUGAACCAUAUAUAUGCCUAAAACCUUUUGAAUGUGAAUGUGUACGGAAAUUUGACUUUUACCUUUCGUUCAAAGGAAUUAUCCCUUCCAGAAUGUAACCCCACACAAGUCAAAGUGACAUCAUUUGCACCCAUUUCUCUAGUAGCAACGUCAUCAUACCUUUUAACUUUUUUUGUCCUGCUUUAAGUCUCUAUGUGGGUUGACUGGAAAAGGUAACGAAUCAGACAAAAUAACCGCGAAUACGCCAAUAGAAAAAGCAAGUCCAUUAGGAGAGAUUUUUUCAGUAUUGACAAGAACAUGGGAUGAUAUUCUACUAGUGCACCAAAUGCCAGUCAUGUGUGUGGGUUGACUUGCCUCCAACUCAAAAAAUUCAUCUUCACCAGUGGCAGGUUUAGAAAAUAUUAUUUAGGAGGGGGGAGGGGGUAGGGAGACGAGAGGAGGGUUUCAGUAAAAAGAGAGCACGCAGCGCAAAAAAUCUUUUAGACAUAAAUACGUGCAAAUUACCUUUUCAUCAAGUCUUGGAAGACUUGAAGUCAUUUGCAGAGGUAUAUUGCACACCUAUUAAUGUCUUAAUUGCAUGGGUAACUAUAUGUUCCAAGGCUGCUCCCAUAUGAAUGAUUAAUUAAGGAACACUUAUCGUUAACACACUAACAAAUUGAUUGAUAUCAUUGGAUUUCGUUAAUAUGUUUGUUCAAGAAUGAGAUGCUUUGUUCAUUCUUUGAGAUUACCAUUUCAUUUACUUUGCAUUUUUGGAUAGUCUUUUACUUCAUUCUUAUUUUCAUCCCACAAUUGUAAUCACAACCAACAAGCAAAUUAGAGGUAAACAAUUUUAGGACUAGACUGUAAACCAAAACUUUCGACCAACUAUAAUUAUAAAGAAGUAUAAAAUACUAAUAAUAGGAUUUGAAAGGUGCGGCAAAGCAACACAACUGCUGAGCAAAACAUCCACUAUGCUAUGCCCAAAUCUAAGCAUGCCUUGUAGCCCAGCAGUCCAAGCUCCUCUCUAAGGCAUUUUAUCAAGCAGUUGGAGGACAUAUAUGAAGGGCGACUCUAAUCUUAAAAAAGACAGCAUCCAAGUCAUCCAUGAAAAUUCAAUGGAGUUCGGAAGAUCAGCUGACCCCCUUGCCCCUAAGUUAGUUCGCCCCUGAUCUCCACCGGUUCAAAAUCAUUGAGACAAUUAAAGCAAGGGAAGCAGCCCAACUUGUUCAAGCUUGACCUUGCACGUACAGACAAUUGGAGCAAGGGUAGCAGCUCAUUUGGCUGCCCUGCCUGUUCAAGCAUAAACUUGCGCCUGCAGGCAAUUGAAGUUGAUGUCAGCAUGGAUCCACCACGUGCAACCCACUGAGGCAAAAGCCUCGCCUUUAGCCGUUAGAUUUCCAACAGUCUUCUUGUCUGGACAGUUGGAUUUCCAACAUUAAAAAAAUUGAAAAUUAUAUGUUGUGCCAUGUCUUGGAAAUCAACAAACAUGAUUAAUCCAAAGGUAAAACAAUCCAACAAAUUCUGAAAAAUUCCAAAAUAAAAACACAAAAUUUUGUUUAAGAACACAUUUAAACAAACUCACAAAAUUCAGCCAUCUUUUUCCUUCACUUUUUAUCUCUAAUUAUUAUGCUUGUUUGUAAUGCUAUUUUUUGCUUUGUAUUUAAAAUUAAAUUAUCGGAGUUAAUUAUGGAAUUUUAUUUUCAAAAUAUAAACUUGCUAAGUACACACUUACAAGGCAUACAAAAUGAAAAUAUAUUUGUCACAGCCCGUCCCGGAGGUACUUUUGGCGGGAAUGUGAAAGGACAAAAAUGCCCUUGUCAGGUAUCAAGGUAUGGGUGAUUACCUAUGCUUUGAUACACGUGAUUGCCAGCACACCUGGAUCCUCCGGAUCGGGGUGUGUCAAUAUUUGUGAAUAGUAAUCGCCCUUACCCUUCCUCUUCUCAAAUGAGUGUACUUGCACAAAUUUAAUUAUUGUUUAGAGAGAACAGUAAGGGUAAUUUCACUGUGCUUGUCCUUGACCUCCUAAAAUAGAUGGACAUGUUCUAACAUCACUCGACCUGCUUAUAUUGGUGUGUGUUCCUUUUAUUAGAGAGGUGGCACAAAUGUAGUCUAUCAAAUGUAAUCUCUCUUGCAUCAUUCUUUGUUAGAAAAUGUAGUAAAAUCUCGCUAUACCAUGACACUCUAGAUAAGGAUAACAAUGAUUUAUGUAGUAAUGUUUUAGAAGAUUUUAUGUUACCUAGUUUAGAGCUUCUUCUAUCCGGGUGUGUUGACUAUUCUCUCUGCUGAGGCAUGAUCCUUUAGAUUUCUAAUAAAUUGUUUUGCUGAUAAAAAGACGAUCUUUAUUGACAGCAGAUUCGUAAAAAUAUAUUGUCCUGGACAUUCAUACUUUGCAAUUUAGGCAAUCCAAGAUAUAAUAUAUUGGUCCAGGUUACAUUUUGAUUUGGGUGUUUUAGCCUUGAGGCAAUCCAAUUUUUUUAAUUUUUAUAAAUUAAGUUUCUUCCUGAAUUCUAAUAUACUCCAAUGUUUAGAUGAAAAGAUCCUCCAAGACUUAUAUUCACAAUUUUUACAAUUAACUUUGAAUUUGAAAAUUGGAAUGUGGUCAACAGAUUGAACUGGGACUUCAAUAGAUUGAUUUCGAUUAUUUAAGAAAUAAUUUAUUUUUUAGUAUCACUGUUCAAAAUUUUCCUUUUUAGAUUUUAUUUAUUUUUGUUUUUGGGUUUGCUAAUAAAGCUUUAAAUAUAAAAAAUUAUAUUUAAAGCUAACACAUGGCAAGCUAUGAUAUAUGUCUGCCACUACCAAUCAACUUAGGAUUGGUUUGGUAUUGCUGUGCUUUGAAAAAAAGCUGCUUCUGCUGUGCUGUGAGAAUAAGCGGCUGUAAAAUAAAGCUGUAGAGUGUUUGAUAAACUUUUUUGUAAAAAGGCUUUUGAAAAAAAAAAGCAGUAUUAUAAUGUUUGGUAAACUUUUAUGUAAAAUAGAUGUGAAAAAAACCGGUUUUUCAAAGCUGAGUUUUGCAGCUUCUUGUUUUUGGCUUGUUUUCACCCAAAACUGUGAAAAAAAAGCUGAAGCUGAAUGUUUACCAAACACAAAAAAGCUCCCAGCUUUUUUUGAUACCAGCUUUUUUCAGAAUCAUCUCAGUACCAAACCAGGCCUUAAUCUAGAGGCAAGUUAAGCUUCACACAAGUUUUUCUUGUUCUCCUCACCUUAAUAAUAAUAAUUUAAAAAAAAAGAAAAAAAAAACUAAUAUGCUCCAAUAUUGACGUAAUAUUUUUUAUCCAUAGAUUUUCCAUUAAAAGUGACUAAGUCAAAAAAUAAUUUUUGUAAUUACAUAUCUGUUAAGUAUAACUUCUUUGUAAUAAUAAAAAUAAUUUGAUCUUGCAAGUGACCUUUUACCACAGUAGUAAAAAAGAGUUAAGUCAUUGCAUGAUGGUGUGGAUUCGAAGUUCGUCGGCGGCUAAUCUAACAUCUAACCUAACAAAAUUUAUGGUUUGACAAAAAAAAAAUUUGGUCCUAAGAUCAAUAAGAUAUUUCACUGUCUUUCUUCGAGUGUGAAACUGUCAUACUAUUAUAAUUUUAAUACAUUAUAUUAAUGAGGUCUCCCAUCUAACAAUGUUAUGCGAUGCAGAAAUGAUACUAUAACCAUAUAUUUGCGUUAAUAAAGAUAAGACUCAUAUAUGUGAAUAAGUCUUAAUUUUAUUAGUGAAAUAGUACAUAAGAUGGUACGAAUAUUUAAUAACGGUAGAAUUACUCAUGUUGGCGUCAGGUUUCUAGUUCUAGAAAUUUUUUAAUAUUAGUAUCCCAGUGUAAUAAUGACACACGUAAGUAAAGAGGAAGAAGUUGAAACGGUAUAACAUGCUACUGUGAACAAGUCAACAAUAUACAGCUUCUAAAUCAUGUUGGGUCAAAUUUCUGCCACUCUCCACAUGUAACAAAUGCUUGAGUAUAGUAGUAUAAAAAGAAAAAGAAGAAAAAAAAAAAAACGAAUGUUACCCGAACUCCAUGCAUAACUGUCAUUGGAAUUAUAACUUUUUGUUAGCCGGCGUAGCUCAACCGCACCCUAUCAUUGACUGCUGAAAAGGCCACCAUAUAUUGCUUAAAAAAUAUAAAAAUUUGCUAAUUUGGUCCAUGAAUUCUUACGCAUGAAAAUUCAGUUUUUAAAUUCAUUAAAAAUUAUCAAAUUCAUCUUUAUUGUUGAUUCAAAUUAUUUUAUUCAUUUUUUCGUUAAUUUAAAUCAUGUGACUUGUAUUUGAUACAUUUUAAAAGGUAGAUUAACAUUUUUAAUGGGUUUAAGAACUUUUCCUUUUUCUACUCCAUCUCAAUGUAUAUUCUUCAUUUCUUGGCUCCAAUUAACAACUAAAUUCUCUUCCUUAACCAUAACAAUAGGCUAUGCUAUGUCAUGAACGAGAAAUAGUAUAUACUAGCAAAAAUGCCUGCGCGCUGCUGCGAAUGUUUAAAAUAUUUUGAUAAUAUGUACAUACAGAAAAUAGAAUUUAUUGAAGUUAGAUUUAUAUACCUAAGAUAGAGAUUGGCAGUGUGCAAUUCCUCACUGUUAUAAAGAUAGAGAUGCUAUGAAAGCUAUAUUCAUGUACAGAAGUUCAUAGUAUCAAAAUUGUUCAAAUACGAAAAAAAAACAUGUUCAUAUCAGAAGCUUGGCACCGCACAUCUGCUCAGUGUUUAUGAUUUUUCCUGGUCAAUCUUCUGGUCUUGCUUGUUUGGGAAUGACCAUCUUUUUCUUGGUCAUCUUGUUAUUUUUUGCUUUGUCCAGAAUUUUUCUCUUGCUAUAUAUUAAGAAUUGUAAUCAAUAAGAAUUCAAAAUAAAAAACUAAAAGUUUUCAAUCUAUUUAACCACUGAAUUGAUGGAGGAGCGAAAGAGAGAAACAAAAAAAAAGGGCCAUUAUUCAAUUAUAUGGAGAAUUACUUGAUACGUACAAAAGAUUUGAAAAUUAAACUAACAUUAAAAAAAGAAAAGAAAAAAGAGAUGAGAUGGAGUGGAAACCACAUACCAACAUCAAGCUUAAAAUUGUAGUGCUAUCUGCAAUUAGUCUUAUCAGGAGCUUCUACACUGGUUGAUGUCUCGGUCUUUUACUUAGCUGUAUGUACAUUGUAGACUUGGGUAGAUGAGAAGCAGAAGAAAAUAAAAAUAUAAGUUAAAGUUACAACUUAACUAUCUAUGUUGAUUCAUGUCCAACACAUAAUAAGAAUAAUAAGAAUAGCGAAUCAUUUUUCAUCUCGUGCACUGAUUUGUCAUUGUCACUCAAAUUCACAAAUUCAUUUACUCCAAAUUUCUUAGUUAUGACCAAGGAAAGAAUGUUUAAGCAAAAAUAUGUUUAUAUGUUUUCCCACCAAAUUACCUGUUAAACCUGUUUGUACCAUACUUGACCAAUCUCGAAACUACCGAGCACCAGUCAACGUUAUACCGUUAAGGACCCGGAAGAGUUUCCCUCCAACCAAGAGGCCAAUCACGGUGCGACACGUGUCGACAUCAGAAGCCAAUCAUAGCUCAACAUCGGAAGCCAAUCAUAACACGACACGUGUCAAUGUCAGAACAAAGCUUUUGUUGGCACCAUAAAUUGGUUUUGCUUCACACUGUCUUGAUCAAGAGUGUGUGAAGCUUUUGAGAAUUGUGGUUGCCCUCCAUUGAUGAAGCUCUUGUUGGCACCAUAAAUUGGUUUUGCUUCACACACUCUUGAUCAAGACAAUGUGAAGCAAAACCAAUUUAUGGUGCCAACAAAAGUUUCAUCAACGGAGGGCAACUACAAUUCUCAAACUCUUCACACACUCUUAAUUAAGACAGUGUGAAGCAAAAUCAAUUUAUGGUGCCAACAAAAGCUUCAUUAAUGGAGGACAACUACAAAUGCCAAAAGCUUCACACACUCUUGAUCAAGAUAGUGUGAAGCAAAAUCAAUUCAUGGUACCCAACAAAGUUUCAACUCCAAAGCUUCACCUACAAAGCUUCAACACAAAAGCUUCACCUACAAAGCUUCAACUCCAAAGCUUCACCUACAAAGCUUCAAUUCCAAAGCUUCACCUACAAAGCUUCAACUCCAAAGCUUCACCUACAAAAGCUUCAACUCAAAAGCUUCACCUACAAAAGCUUCAACUCCAAAGCUUCACCUACAAAAGCUUAAACUCUAAAGCUUCAACACAAAAACUUCACCUACAAAGCUUCAACACAAAAGCUUCACCUACAAAAGCUUCACCUACAAGGCUUCAACUCCAAAGUUUCACCUACAAAGCUUCAACUCCAAAGCUUCACCUACAAAGCUUCAACACCUAAGCUUCACCUACAAAGCUUCAACACAAAAGCUUCACCUACAAAAGCUUCAACAUAAAAGUCUCACCUACAAAAGCUUCACCUACAAAAGCUUCCACACAAAAGCUUCAUCUACAAAAGCUUCAACAUAAAAGCUUCACCUACAAAAGCAUCACACACUCUUGAUCAAGAUAGUGUGAAGCAAAAUCAAUUCAUGAUACCCAACAAAGCUUCAACCUCAAAGUUUCACGUACAAAGCUUCAACACCAAAGCUUCACCUGCAAAGCUUAAAAAAAUUAUAUACAUACAUACAUAUAUAUAUAUAUAUAUAUAUAUUUUUUUUUUUCGAAAAUUCAGAAAUAAAAAAAAAAAUCGGAAAUUCGAAAAAAAAGAAAAGAAAAUGAGGCCUUUUUCUUUAGGCCUAACAACUUUCAUAACAAAUAUAUAUGAAGGAGGAGUUUUGGGCUACCACUUAGAAAGGAAAAUGGUGAAGUUUUGUUACUUUGGAAACUUGGCUAGUAGCAAGACACCUCCUUCGUCAAAUCCCUCGACCGGAGACUUGGGGGACUCCUACCAUAUGUUACUGCAUUUUGAUACUCGGAAGUCUCAUGACCACUCAGUGACUUAGAUUUUUCAAGUCUCCAACCAAGAAGUUUUCCUCACUCGGAAAAUUAAUGGAGCACUACCUCAACCUACAUGCUUCACUCACAAAGCUUUAACAUACAAGCUUCAACAAAAGAAAAAAUUCAAAGAAAUUAGUGAAGAAGGCUUUGGUGUAUUUAACACAAUACGUUGAAAUGAAACAAAGCUUAUUUAUUGAUAUCUCUGAUAAGUUACAAAUAUGUACAUAUACAUGAAUCAAAAUAAACAAACAAGAGGGAGCCUUCACAAAGGUUGCUCAUGAGAAGUCUUAGCAGUCGGCAGAGCCCUAGAAAGAGAAGGAACCGGAGGGUGAUCAUUCGGAGCCUCAGUACUGGGCAGAACCCCAGAAGGAGGAGGUAUCAGAGGUUGAUCAUUUAGAGCUUCAUUACGCGGUACAGCCCCAGAAGAUGAAGGCAAUAAAUGCCUUUGGAACAAACCUAUAAACCUCUGAUGAUCAAGUAAAUUCUGACCAUUAGAUUCCUGCAACUGGUCAAGCUUCCUUUUCAUGUUUGUAGCAUAGUCAUGUGCGAGCCUGUUUAACUGUUUAUUCUCAUGCUUGAGCCUCUGAUCUCUUGUUUGAGACUUAUCACUUCAGCCGCCAAUGAUUCAACUUGACGGGUUCGAGCAAAUAGGCGUUGGGCCAUAUUAGACACAGAACUUGCACACUGAACACUGAGAGCCAGAGAAUCCUUAUCAGCCAACUCAUCAGACCGUUUGGAAAGUAGUCUGUUAUCUUUAGGAGUAAGAAAGUUCUUGGCCACCACCGCAGCGGACAUAUCAUUCUUCAUCACAGAGUCCCCAACGGUAAGAGGACCAGUAGGGGAUAAGAAGGAUGGACGCCAUAUGUUGUCUUGAGGAGGCAUGGCUGCCUCUUCACCAAAGUUCAAGUCAAAAUGACGAUCAGAUGGGCCAGACAUUUUCAGAAAUUAUGAAGGAGAAAUGAAGUCCAAUAAAUCUCUGAAGUACGAAAAUAAGGGGAAAAUUCCUACAAGCAAUAACUCUUUGAACGUACUUCUUGCACACAAUUGGUGCCCCUAUAAAAGAAAGGGCAACAUGGCCGUUUGUUCAAAAAUCGAAGAGGCACCAUUCUCCGGAUUUCGAGAAGCGGAUUUUUCUGAGUAAAAUAUGUCGACAAUCCCUACAUGCAACAUCAGCUUCUCGGGUACCACUGAUAACUUUGGCAAAGAUCUCUGACAAAGUUUAGACACAUAAAUUUUGAAGGUCCAGCUACCCUACCAUUACCCACAAGGGUAACGGAACAACAUCACUGCUUGAUAACUGGAAAGUCUUUAUGUGUGUCAACCUCAGUGCUCAUUGGCAUGGCAACUUGGCAAAAAUGCCCAACCUUUACUCACAUCGAGAAAACACUCAUAACAGGAUUACUUUCUCAAAAAUCGAAGAGGCACCGCUCCCCGAAUCUCGAGAGCCACGCUCCCACCAGGAUUACUUUCUUAAAAUUCGAAGAGGCACAGCUAUCUGAAUCUCGAGAGUCAGACUCCUACCAGGAUCGCUUUCUCAAAAAUCAAAGAGGCACCGUUCUCUAAAUCUGGAGAGCCAGAUCCCCAAUAGGAUUGCUUGUUCAAAAAUCGAAGAGGCAACACUCUCCAAAUCUCAAGAGCCAGAUCCCCAAUAGGAUUGCUUGUUCGAAAACCGAAGAGGCACCGUUCUCCGAACUUCAAGAGCCAGAUUUCCUUGGAUAAAAUUUGUCUGCAAUCUUCACACGUAACAUCAGCUUUCCAAAUACCACAGACCAUUUUUUCAAAGUGCUCUGACAAAGUUAAAACACGUGAAGCUUGCAGCUCCCACUACAUUGCUAUGACCAAGAAGGGUAAAUGAAUAGCAUUACUACUUGUUGUUGAGGGAACUCCUAUAUAUGUCUACCGCCACCCUCCACGAACAGGAAAACCUGCAAAAAUGCUCAACCAUUCCUCGUAUCUGAUAGGGCACUCCCAACGAAGCCUCUCGAAAUACUCAGCUUCCUUUCCCUCGAUAAUACCUCUGCAAACAAGCCACACCAGAGCAAGAGUAUCUCAUAUCAUCAGGGUUCAAAGUAAAAGUAUCCCAUAUCAUGCUUUUUCCCUAUCUUUUCCUUUGCCCUUGCUUUUACCUGCAAGACAAGGAGAAAGAAAGCAAUCAGUCGGCACCUGAAAUCAAACUUCCGAUCUAGAACUGAUUGCCCGGAACCUUUGCCUGGGUCCUCACCUAGCAUUACUCUCAAGUACUCAUCAUCAACUGUUGUCAAGGUCAUGAAUCCUUUCGGUAAAUACUUCAUAACAGUUGAUACGAUAUAGGCUCUUUACAUUGAAGCUGCCAAGCAUGGAUGAGUCGCUGAGAAGUAGUUCUCUGAAGGACCAUUCAAAUGAAAAGGUUGUGCACCACUUCUACGAUGUAAAAGAUUGAAGCAGAAGGUUCAACGAUGAGCUAGAACAGAUCACUAUAGCACGACGCCCUACCUGCAGAACCGCAUAAUCCAGACGGAAGAGUCUAAGUCAAAUCCAAGCUCGGCAUCGCUGCCUUAUCCGAAGAGCUCAAGAAACUUCAACAACCUUUCGCUGGCAACGUCGCCAAAGAGCAAAGCCUCGCCAUACCACAUCCACUACUUUGUCAACAACAAAACUAUCCCAUUUUAUCAAGGUCGAACGAACUCUUGAUUUGAUGGACUUGUUUUGACCCUCAAAUUCAUGAGUCAGCCUUAUACUCUGGAGGCAACUAGAAAACCCUCCAACCCAGUUCAAGAAUAAGCUUGUGGAAAGUUACUUCUUCAAAAGAAAAAGUUUCUCAUAUCAUCUAUUCUCCUUUUUCUUCUCUUUAUCCUUCAUGCUGCCUGCAAGAUAGGGAGAAUGAGAACAAUCAGCCAGAACUCGAAAUCAAACUUCUGAUCUAGGACUGAUUGCUUGGAGCUCUGAUUGCUUACCUUGUCUGUCACCUCUUUCGACAGAUCUCCUGGCUCGGCGACUUGGGGGACUCCUACUAAAUGGUUUGUAUCGCGCUUGACCAAGCCUAAAACUACAAGUAAGGUUCAAGUGAAAUUGAUACAUUACCUUGUGCAUCUCCACCGGUUAAAGAUACCACCCCUGGAUGGAGGAAGAGUACUUCCAGAGAAGAUGACACAUCUACCUAUGCGAUAGAUAAGGCAAGUGAAGAUGAUACCACACUUCAGUACUUAGAAGUUUUGUGAUUACUCAGCGGCUUGGAUCUUGCAAGUCCAUAACCGAGGAACUUCCCUCACUCGGGAACUUAGGGGAGUAUUGUUUGUACCAUACUUGACCAAUCCUGAAACUACAGAGCACCGACAACAUUAUACCGUCAAGGACCCAGAAGAGUUUCCCUCCAACCAGAAGGCCAAUCACAGUGCAACAUGUGUCGACAUUAGUAGCCAAUCAUAGCAUGACACGUGUAAACAUCGGAAGCCAAUCACAACACGACACGUGUCAAUGUCAGAACAAAGCUAAAAACUCUCGUCUAUAAAAGGAGAUCAUUCUCCCACAAUAUUGCCUAAUGUCAUUUGUAUUAAAUCAUUCGCUAGUACUCACUAAAGGAAGGCUUGAACCUAUGACUUGUGUAAACCCUUCACAAUUAAUGAGAACUCCUAUACUCCGUGGACGUAACCAAUCUGGGUGAACCACAUACAUCUUGUGUUUUCCUCCAUGUCUUUAUCCAUUUACAUACUUAUCCACACUAGUGACCAGAGCAAUCUAGCGAAGGUCACAAACUUAACAAUUUAUGUUGUACCAAAGUCCUCAUUGAUUUUGUGCAUCAACAAAACCAAAUCCAAACGUCAAAAAUAAAAAAUAAAUACCUUCGUCAAACCUCUUGGGCUUCAAGUCCACCGACUCCACCCCAAUACUCUGUGGCGCCUUAGAAAUUCUUCCACCUUUAGUAGCCUAGAUCAUGCAUGUAUCAGUAUAAAUACAGAAAAGAAAAUAAAUGCAAUUUAUUAGAACAAAGAAUUUGGGAUCAACAAAGUUUGUCCAAACUUACAGCGAGGCCAAUAAACAGCAACUGAGGACAAUUUUUCAUUUCGCUACAUUGAGAGGGGAACCCAAACCUAAUAUUAAAAAAACAAAAUAUUCAGUAUAAUGCAAACGAUUCAAUAUGUAGUAUCAAUUGAGGAUGCAUAAUUCAAGGCUUUAAAGCAUUGAGUACGACACCAAACUUGUUGGUAUGGCACAACUAAGGAUGCAAACUUUGUCCAACUGAGCAAAGGGCUUGAUUUUGGAAAGACGGCCAUAAUGAACAACAAUGUAUUCACUUGAAGUAAAUGUGCCUGGAAAACUCUACUCGUAGUUUACAAAUCUGUAAUUCUCAAAGCUUAAUCAUAUAAAAUCAUAUAUAUAUAUAUAUAUAUAUUAUGUAUGUUGUAGAUAUUAUUGCUGACCUUCGGCAGAAGUAGAGUUCAGUGUGAUAAACUGAGGUAUAUUUGACCUUUACCCUCAUUUCCAUGGCCUUAGGUGGAGCAACCUUCACCCUCUCCAUCACCAACAGCUUCCUGACUUCCCAUCAGUGUGAUAAACUGAGUAUUAAAUCUCUAUAAAGACAUGCAAAAUGAAGAACAAUGGACAUAGCAGGCAAAGAUGCUAAUUGGUGUUCAUAAAAAAGAUAUUUUAGUUUUAAUUACCUUGUAUUUGAGAAGAGGUUCAGAACUCUCUUCAAUUUCUUUUGGUUCUGGUUUGGCUUCAGGCCUAGCCUCCAUUGUCGCCAUCGACAGAAGACGAGCUCUUAGGAAUAGAAGUGGACAUGAAUGGAGCUUGAUAUGAUCUAAUUAUGAAAACAUAUACCAAUCAAACAUAAAAUUUAAGGUGCAUGGACGAAUUUCUCCUACGAAAUGAUCUAAAUAUGUUGAGAAGAAUAUACAUUUUUACAUAUUUUCUCGACAACCAAACAACAUAUUUUGUCACCGGUGUUUAGACAGAAACAAGUCGUCGAAAUUUGAAGACCAAAGCCCUAAUACCUUAACACAUAAGAUCGAUUCAAUUAAGUGUGAGAGAAUUUGUAGAAUUUUAUAUGUUAGUUUGAGGGUUUGAGUUUGUUUUCUUAUUUUAUGCAAAGAAAACUUCAAUCAAAUGCCAAAUAACUCACUAUCUUACCUAAUGACAAAUAAGUGAGAGAGCUUUUGGGUAAAAGGGUCAGAGAUGGUUUGAAGCUGGAAUUUGCUGAUGCUAGGGUGAGUCAAGAUGUUGUUGCAGUCUGGUUGUCAGCCGACGACCAAGAUUUCUUCAUGGGUUUUCCUUCCAAAUGGGUUUGUAGUGCGGCUAUGGUUGAGAUUUGUUGAGGAUGAAGCGGUUAGUGAGUGAGAGAGAAACUGCGAUUGUGAAAGAACGCAGAGGUGUGGAAAAUGAUGAUUAUGAAGGGAAUUGAGAGGCGAGAUUGAUCGCACUUGUUGGAAUCGAAGGCAAGAUCGUGACCGGGAUGCAGGGAAGCAUGUGAGGGGAAGUUAGGAGAGAAAAUGGAAACAAAAGGGCAAAACGGCAAUGAAAGACACGUAACGAUGAAAGACAUCUAGAACAAUCAAAGCCAAAGCAAAGAGGAUGAAAGACACGUAGAACCAAAAGGACAAAACAGUCAUAUUACUGUAGAAACUCAGCAUUAAAACGAAGAGGAAGAAAAAAAUAAAGGGCAAAUUCGUCAAAUCACUAUUAAUGAACAGUAACUGAAACUGAGUUUUAGUAUAUAUAAUUUGUAUGACGUUAGGAAAUUUGACAAAUGACCUAUACAACCAAAAAAAUACUAGAGAGCACAUAUUUAUCAAGAUUUUAAGAGACACUAGAUGCUAGUCAGUGACAGACUAAGACCUAGUGCCUAGGCGGCUAGGCGGGAGCUUAGGCAGACUAGGUGGAUUAAGUAAAUUUAUUAUAGCUCGUAUAAAUAAGUGUAUGUUUAUACUUAAAAAAUACAUAAUUGUAUUGUGAUACAUAAAUUAUAAAGUAUUAGAACAUAUUGAAAAUAUGGGGAACAAGCAUAUGAUAAAUGUUUAUCCAAGUAUUCAAUAAGUGUCUUACAAUUUAUUGAAAAAUAAAAAUAAAAUACAAAUUAAUAGUUAUCUAUUUUCUGUCUAGGUGAGAGUUGUGAUCUAGCCGGGUAUCUAGGCGGACUUAGGCGGGCGCCUAAGCAGAUCUAUGCGCCAUUUCUUAAUAUUCAAUGCCUAGAGAUUACUCGAGCUGUGAUCAGCCGCUUAGCACCUAUGCGGGGCCUAGUUGGAAAUUUUUAGAAUAGUAUACCAUUUGAUAUGAUAAGUUAUGAUAAAUAUAUAUAUAUAGAGAGAGAGAGAGAGAGAGAGAGAGAGAGAGAGAGUGAUCUAGUAUAUAGCACUAGGGGUGGAAAAAAAAUCCCGAAAAUCCCGAACCAAACCGAAAAAAUUCCAAUCCCAAACCAAAAAUUUCUCAAACCGAAUUUCCCAAAAUUUCGGUACGGGAUUCGGGGUUGGCUUCUUGAUAUUUCGGGAAUUCCAUACUGAUCCGAAAAUAUAUAAUAUUAAUUAUUAUAUAUAUUUAUACAUAUAUUAUUCUUUUAUAAUUGAUGCUAGUAGUUUCUAAUUCAUGCUUUGCAACCUGGAAUGCCAUACACCUUGCAUAUCAUUCAUGUUUUGUUUGAUAUUCAUUUGGAUUUUAUUAUUGCUGUUGCCAUGGCUGAUGAUUUUAGAAGGCUUGAUUCUUUUGUCUCUCAACAGAUUGCAAAAAGGGUUUAAUUAAUUUGAAUUUUGACUCUGAUAAAAAUAGUCAAGCAUGCCAGUGUUCGAUUAAAUGGUAGUGUGAAUGAAAUGACAUUCCUAGUUCAUGAAUGUGUUCUUAAAUUAAAUAUUUGAAGAACAAUUCAUAAUUUCAUAUUUCAAUUUGGGAUUCCCGAUUUGUCCCAAAAUCCAGAAAAAUUUCGGGAUUCCCAAAAAUUUGGUUUGUGAUUGGUCUUCAAAUUCUCGUCCCGAAAAAUUUUGGUUGCGAUUCAGGAUACUAGUUUCGGUAUGGUAUCCCAUACCGAACCACCCCUAUAUAGCACCAUAACUAAAGGACAUCCCAAUAUAGAUUCAAAAGCAAAGGACAGACUGAUUAGGGUACCAUAUAUUUUAGUGGUUUUUUUUAGAGAAGUGUUAUUGGCAUUUUAAAUCUCAUUCUACACUCCUCACAAAUGUAUUUUUCUUUCAUAAUAUAGAAAGUUUGGAGUGUAGAAUGAGAUUUUUGGAGUGCUAAUAACAAUUCCCUUAUUUUAAUUUAGGUAAAAUAUCUAAUCGUGUCAGUUUAUCAUAUAUCGUGUGUCUAGUUUUCGUUAUGUACUAUUUAUAUUCAAUUUUGAAGUAAAAGUUUAAAAUGAUUUCUAACCGCACGAUGUACGAUGAACGAACAUAAUUGAUUGAUUCUCCAGAUAUCCCCACAAAGAGGAUCCAAAGAGGAUCCUAUUCCGGUGGCACUGAUAAUUGUUUCUUUAUAAAUUUUCGCAUAUGAAGAAAUAGUUGUCGGUGCCACCAAUAUUCAACUUAAUUACAAUACUACUACCGCACACAAACUUUAACGUAAUCACGAUAUUGCCUUGUAAUUGAAAAAUGUUCGUUUUUAUUUUUGAACCAAUUGAAAAAUGUUCGUUAGGUGUUUUCCUUUUUAUCUUUAUCAAAAAGGUGUACAAAUAUGAUCGGCUAAAUAUGGUCUACCAAUUAUUUUUCUUUUCCUAGUAAAUGUGGAUGGGAUAAGACUUGCGUUCCCAAUGGGGAAUACACAUAUCCUACUUCUUUCAAAUAAAUUAUAUUCGACAUAUAAAUUUCAUAAUUUGAACCAUUCACUUUUUUAAUCUUCAUUUGAAGAUCAUUCUUAUAAAAAAUCAUCUAAAUCAGAGAUCUUUUAGUCAUCUAAAUCUAUGAAACAAAUCGACAAUAUGAGUACCAAAGAACCACUACAAGAAAAAUGAGCUUUGGGUACAAAACAAAGGGCACAAUUGAGAAUUUUGUGUCUGUUUGACCACCAAAAAGCUUAAACAGUUCCCAUUUCAUAGAGGACACCAUCUAUUGUGCCCAAUGUUAAAAAAGGAAGACACAAAAUAGUAAUGGGCACGGUUUCCGUGCCGAGUGGGGUCAGAUGACAUUUUUUUACUGAAGAUCGGCACAAAAAACAUUUUGUGUCUAUAAAAAUUAUUUGUCAGAGGCACUGUAUGUUCUCUCUCGUUUGUCUUUACCUCCUCUAGCACACCAAUAAUUAAAAUUUAUAAAAUUGUGGUAAAUAAUGGUAUGAAGCUAUUUAUUAUUGUGCAAUGUUUUAGCCUCAAAAUAAGUUAGCAAUAAUAUUGUUCAAAUUCGUUUUUCGCGAGAGCCGAAUCUCAUAUCUCUCACUUACAAGUAAAGAAGAAUACCACUACACCGUAGUAUUAAGUGGCGUGUUUUAGAUUUACAAUGGAUCAUUUCCAACUACAAUAAAUGUUUGUUAGAUUCGUAUCUUUUUUAAUUGCAUUUUAGAUUGGUAUCUUCCUGCAAGUUUGUUUUUUAUGCUUGGUGAUAUGGUUUUUGGUUUUAUAGUAAAUGUUUAUUUUUUUACUGCAUUAAAAGUCCUUCAUGCAAUGACACAUAACCAACAAUUGUGCCCUUAGGGUCGGUCUCCGUGCAAAAGCAAGUUGAUCUUCAGAUAGACAAAUAAGUGUAGAUUCCUUUUUAUGACACUAAUGAUAGAAAUUGUGUCCACUAAAUAUUAAUAAAUAAUAAAUCAGUCUACUUUUCAUUGGGUCUUCAGAUAGACAAUAUAUUUUAAUAAUUAUAAAAUCCUUUUUAUGACACUGAUGUUAUAAAUUGUGUCCAGUAAAUAUUAAUAAAUAAUAAAUCACUCUAUAGCAAAACAAUAUGUUGGCACAAUUAUGGAUUUGUGCCUGUAUUCUAGUAUAAAGCGUCCACACUCCUUUACUAAUUUGUCUAUGGAAAAUAGAAGGUCACUUCAUACACUUGUGUUUAUUUUGAAUAUGAUCAAGUUCUACAUCAUUGAGAAUGAGGGACAUGCGACGUAGCGGAGUUAGAAUUGGAACCGAAUCUCCAACAUCACAUUCGUCUAUUGCUUCAAACAUUACAACAGCAAAUUCCACAACGAAUCAUAUUUAUAAAUAUCAGUAAUCAUAUUUUUUUUAGCACAAAAAAUCGUCACUAUUUAUAUAUAUCAGUAAUCAUAUUUUUUUAUUAAUUUACAAACACAUGAAAAGAAUUUUCAUGCUCUUUGAUUUAGGAUUAUUUAAAUCAUUUAAUCUUAAAGACAUAAUGUUCGUGUCUUCCCUUAAAGUCUGGACAGUCAUAUUUAAGUAUUAGUUUUUAUCGAUCCCAUAACCCACUCGGUUUCAAAAGCAGCGUCACCCACACUCACUCAGCCUAUUCAAACUUUCCUCCCUCAGAUGCAUUCUCACCCGUCUUUCUCCAACCCCUUUUCUCUCACUACCUUCCCCAGAUCAAAUCGUGGAGGCUCUUAAGUUCCAUCAUCGCUAGAAAACCUUGGUAGGAACCCUCCGCAUACGAUCUCCACAAGAACGGAUCUCGGAGCAGCAGGGGGUUGGGAUCGGUAGAGAGUUUGGAAUCAGAAUCGGAGGAGGUAAUCACAGUUUUGGUAACUGCAAGGUCAUCGAGGGGCUGUUUCUAGGGUUGGAGUGGGAGGCAUUCGAACUUAUCUUCAUCCCAAUACACGAAGCUGGUGAAGGAAGGUUUGGGAAGAUGGAUGCAUAGUGAGUCCGAAUCGGGAAUCGGGUCUAGUAGGGAGAGAUCAGAAGGUGAGUCGAGUUGGGAGGUGGUGGUGAGGAAAAGGCAGGUGCAAGUCGGAAGAUGGAGUGAGGAGUAGUCGUCGUUGUCCUCAUUUAUUUCGUCACCGUAGCCUUCGAAUUGGGAGUCGGCGACUUGGAGGGAGGAGGGAAAGAAUGAGAGGUAAGAGAAGAGGAAGAAGAUGAUAAGUGUUUCAUCUUUAUCUCCUUUCAUUUUUAAAGUACGAUUGUAUGCUUGUAAACAUGUGUUGGUUGUUCAGGUGCCAUGGAUAUACAAUAUUAUUUCUUUUAGUAAUCGCGUGUUUUUAAGAGAAGCUGUUUUCUCUUAGGAUUUGAUGUUAUUUUGAAUUGUUUUGAUUAGUUCUGAAAGCUUUUAAAUAUCUCUGGUGUUGUAGAUCAGAUAUCCCUUCAUUUGUGGAGUUAUGCGAUCGAGGUCCUACAUGGUGUAUACAACUAGACAAUUUGUAAUCAAGUUUAAUUUUCCAUGGGUGCAAAAGUUCUUUGUAAAAGCAGACUUUAGUGUAAUUUAAUUGGCCAAUUUAAUCUCUCUUUCUAUUCUUUUUCAGCUUCGAAAAGUAAAUGAUGAACAUAAGACUGGAAUUCGAAAAACUGAACAUGAUCUUCAAGUUGCAGAGGUUUGUUGUCCGUUUAUUUGCUACCUGAAACUAUCAAUUGCUAUAUGGUAUUAAUUUUUUUGAUAUCUCAGGAAGAAAUGGUGAAGAGAAGUUUGGGAUUUCUUCGAUAUUUGAUGAUUUGAUUGGGGUAAGGAAAUGGUAAUGCUAUAAUUUUCUAAUGUCUGCUGUUGUUGGCAACGUUGUUGUUAUCACUUUAGGUUUAAUUCUUGUGUCUUUACCUCUUUUAGUGAGACUAGUCAAUUAGUAAAUUUAUCAAUUGCCUAAAGGUGGAUUCUGUUAUGGCCCCGUCUCUUAUUAAUCAUAUGCAAGCUUUUAAGCUUGAAUAACAGUAAAGCGUAUCAUGUUCUUGUUACCAUUUACAAGUACUUUAAAAUUAAGUUCACCAUACCGCCAAUAGUUAAAUCCUAUUGUGACCCAUGAUCAGGUCCAUGGAAGAUGGCUUCCACAUACAUUUGGAGUUCAUGUAGACUAUUUUUCAGGUAAAUCCUCGCAAAUUAGUUGGAUAACAAUGUCAGUCUAAUUUCAUGACAAAGUAUUUAUGUGCAAACGUACAUUGUGACUUUAUUGGAAUGCGCUUGGAAGACCAGCCUUCAAUCUGGAAAUUGAAAAGGUGUGUCUGUGAUAUUCCAAACUUUAUUCGUUAAACUUCUCCAAUAAAGAUGUUCACUUGCCAGGUGAAUAAACUGGAAUAGCCAAGUAUUCAUUUAUUUAUUUGUCCUCAGGCCUUAAAAAUGAAAGCUCGUGGUGAGGGUUGGGCUAGGAUCAUCGUCGAAAGAAUCAGGACGGUAUGUUAUCCCCAACUCUUAUUCAUAUAAUACAAAAUACAAAGUGAGACAUGAGUUGUGUUUUAUGGGAUUAAGUGGCAAAAUUUGAGUUUCAAAACUCGAGUUCUGAAGAGGAGCAUAAAGCAGCAAAAGCCUAUCUUACUAAUAAAUUCUGAAGUCAUUAGACUUAGCUUUGGUGUUUGACAUCUUCCUCUUUUCUGAACAAUUAGUGUACAGUCAACUUUUCUAUUUGAGAUAUUGAACCAAGUUGGUAACCUUUCUAAUUCUUCCUCUUUUAAUUUGAAGAACUGGAUCCCAAGGUUGAAGAAACAGUCUUUGGAAUUUAAGGCCUAUCUUGAACCAAACAUCUGAUUAGUCACAGCAAAAACUGUUGAUGUAUAUCGUUCAUCAAAGAGUUCUAUAUGACCAGUUGUUUUCAAGGCACAAAAUAUGGCAGAUCCUUACAUUCAGGUGAGCCCUUCAAGAGAACUUUUUAAAUAUAUGGAUUUGGUGGAUGGAAUUCUUUCUUAUGGCAUUUCUGUGUUAUGGCAGGAAGCUAAGAAAUAUACCGAGCCAUACAUUGAUCGGGUUGCAAUGGUGACAAAAACACAUUUAGAUAAAUUACAAGAAAGAAAAUGCCAAUGCAAUUCUCCUUGUUGCAAGCCAGGUGAGACGUAUGUACAUCUAUCCUCUCAAAACCUUGCACAUUUCUUUUCCUUUCUAAAGUUUACUUUCUCUGACCACUAUGAAAUAUGUUUGCCCUCCAACUCAUGAACUUCCCAUCCUUGGUGAAAAUGUGGCUUGGUCUGCGAUCUCUUGUAGGCCAAAAUGACAUUAUUUAGGAUAAUUAUCAACUUUUGUUGUUGUAAGUAGCAACUUACUACAAAAAGUAUCAACUUUUGUCUUGCUUAUCCACUUAUUGAUGUCCAGAAUUUCAAGGUACGGUGAUGUUCUUAUAGUGGAAAAAACUUAUAUUUCAAUUGCAUAUUGUUGGAGGUUCUAUUAUUAUGUAUUAAGAUUAUCUUGUUUUACAUUACUAUAAUCAUUAAAUUAUUGAGUUUACUAAUGUUGUUGUGUAGGAAGAUAGGGAAAAACUAUUUGAAGGAAUACUUAAACAGAAAUGGAAGAUCUUCUCUUGAUGAUCAUCUUCAUUAAUUCGUUUAUGGAGCAGCAGAGAUUCGAUGAGGUGCAAGGCUUGCUGGGGAAGAUGCAUCUGUCCAAAAAUGUCUGCUUUCAAGUUCUUUUUGCAUUAGAGAUGAAAUAUGUAACAUUACAAUAUAUGUUUGUGAGAUUGAGAAUGUAUUGUAGGCUUUCUACAUUUUAUGAAGAAAAAAACCUCAAUUUCAGUUUCAAUUUUUCAAAUUAUGAUUUUUUUUAAUAUUUAAUUCAUGCAGGCACAAUUACAUUUUUAGUGCCAACAUGACUGGAAAUGGUAGUCUGACAACUUUGUCAGAACAUAGGCACAAAACACCCUUUAUUUGUUCUGACAUCAUGAGCACAGAACUCAGCAUUGUGCCCUCUGAGCAAUGGUGACGCCCAUAGAGGGCACAUACACAAAGAUAGUAGCUGCACUGUUGCUAUUGGUCUAUGACCACAAUUGUUUGUGCUUUUUGGCCUCAAAGGGCACAAAUAAUUUAUUGUGCGCAGUGCUCAUUUUUUUUGUAGUGAACAUAAGGAAAACUAAUGUAAAAACUUCAAAACUUUGAAUCUUAACUAAAAGCCACCUAAUAACUUCAUUUAAUGAUUAUUAAAAAAAUAACUUUAUUUAAUGAUAAGAACUAAAAAUAAAAAAAAAUAAAAAAAGAAAAAAAAUAGCCAACUGAAAGCGCGUGCAAGAUUAAAAAAAAAAAAAACCGAAACCGGAGAGACUGCAAUACAGAAACUCCAAACACAAAUUAAAUUAUGCAAGAAUAUUUUGCAGCGCAAUGUUUGUACUAAUAGUUCAAAGGAGGUAAGGAAGAUAAUUGCCGCGUCUCAGCAGUGUUGAUAUACAUAUUUGUUAUCAUUUCCUAAAUUUUCUGAUGAACUGAUGGAUGUUGGUUUUAGUUAUUUGAUUGGCAGUGGUAAUUGUGAAGUGCUAUCAUCUUCUUGUGUUCAGAAAAAUCUAGAGAUCCGUCAUCGAAAGUGUCAUGCAUGUGGAACUCCGUUUGGUAUAGAAAGCUAAAAAUUGAAGAGAUUCAGAGAAAAUUUGAUGACAAUUGAAGACAAUUAGAAUAAAAGAUGUUUGAAAGGUGACAAAGUGCCGAGAAAAUUCAGGAAGAGUACAUAAAAGAAUGGUUGUUAGACUUUCUGGAGAGAUACCAUAUUUGGUUUAAGAUAUAGUCAGUGCAUGCCAACUUGUGUUCAGUUUCAAAAGUAUUGCCCGUGUUCAGUUUCAAAAAUAGUGUAGUACUCGUAUUUAGUUUUAGAGAUAAUUAGUGUUCAGUUUCUGAAAUAUUGCUUUUCUUAUUUUACUUUUUUUUUUUUUUUUUUUUUUUGGAAGAAAGGUAAAUCCAUUACCAAUACCACAUAAUUACAAUAAAGGAGCUCCAAACUACAAUAUACACACAUUCAAAAUAUGGACCACCAAAGAAGACUUUUGAGCCCAAACAAAACACCGAAACACCCAACAGCUUCCAACCAACGCCGCCAUUGGCAUGCCGCUUUCCACCCAACAGAAACCAACAUCCCAUGCAAACCUCUGAACAGCAGCCAUACACAGCCCCAAACAUGGAUGAAAAGAAGACUCCAAAAUCCAUCAGAGAGCACAUCAUCAUUCGCGACCACGCAACGAAAGAAACCCACUAGCAUUGGUGCCAUCAAAGACACCCUAAAGGAAGGAGGUGGUGUAAACACCCAAGCCGGAGCUCUACACACCUUCCGAGAGAUUAGCAAGAUCGCGUUGAAAUUGCAAGAAUUGCAAUGAGAAAAAACGGGUGACAAACCGAAAUGUUGGAUCAAUGAAUAAUGGAGCUGAUUGGAAAUGAUAUGGAGUGGAUUAGUGGAAAUCAGGUAGGUGGAAGGAAGGGGGGGGAUGAAAAAAGGGACUGGGCACAAUGAAAUCAUAUGCAGAAGGGAUUGGGGAAAAGAACGAUCGAACCAAAAGGCAAGGGAAAACAAAAGCUGUGGGAGAAGCAAAGAAAACAAAAGAAGAAAAAUGAGGAGAAGAUGACUGCCACCAACCUUAGCCAUAGCUAGGGCUGGAGACUAGAAGGAGGAUGAGGUCCUAUUGUCUUUAAUAUCUAUCAGAUAGGUCCUAUAUCAUGUUUAUGAUUUUAAUUACCAAUGAUCGACAUAAAUUUUACAACUUAAACAGCAUGAGAGGUUAAAAUAAUAAAAUUAAAAGUCAAGCAACUUACCUAAGAGGAGAUAAAGCAGAUGGUACACAGUUUCUCAAUGCUUUCCAACUAAACAUUAUAGUUCUCUCUACUGCCAACUGAAAAGAUAUAAGUUAAUAACACAAUUAGAAUUGAAACUUACAAGAGGUCAUGGUUAAAAUAGUUGGGAGAUAGAGAGAAAGAUACAACAAUUCGUGAUGUUGGUGGAAUGGAAAGAUACAUCAAUUCAUGACUUUAGACAAAUGGGUAAUUUUUGUGUAGGUUAAGUGGUUUAAGCACAAACCUAAUAUAGAUAAGUAAAUUAGAAAUAAAAUUGUGAGAAGAAUGAAUAUUGCAAAAGUAGCAGCCUCAUCUCCACAAAAGCUGCAGAAAAACAGUUUUAGCCAACCAAGAUUAAGCCUGAUUUUGAACACCCAUAACUAUACCAAAUUAUGCAAACAAACAUGAGAUUCAAAGCUGUUUUGAGUACAUUAAAAGCAUCUACAAUUUGUAAGAAACGGGGUUCUAAGUUGAAAGUUAUGCAAGAUACAAAAUAGAGCCUCGAAACCGGAAACCCAGUAUUUGCUGCUGUCUGGCAGCUUCAUGACUCAAGUUUGUACAUGGUUUUGACAUAUCAAAACUCAACGGAAUUAUGUGAAAUCAAAUGGGCUUUGAUCAUGGACAUGUUUAGUUUCAAAACACAUGAUAAUGGAUCAAAAGGAAUCCAUAAGGACAUAGAAAUCGAAAGCCAAAGUAGGCUACUUGAAACAUAGUUUUUCUUCGCAGAAAACAUAAGUUCCCUGCAACUUAGAACCCAAACUCUUCUAAUUAUAACUUCAGAAUACUUCCAUACAAUCCCAAAAUCAUGUCUAUAACUUUGAUUUCAAUCAUACUCACAAUUAACAAAAAUUGACUUUUUAAGCCAAACCCUAAAACAUGAUUUUUUGAUCAACACACCCGAUGUAUAAAAUUAAAAGUAAUAAGAAAUAUUGAUACAAAGAAGCUAUGGAAAUAAUGAAGAAAGCUGAGAAUUUUUACCCUUGUUGCAGGUCGACAAAAGGAACCAUCCUUUUGCUAUGAUUCUCUUUGCUGCUUCAAAUGUAGUCUUCUAUACUUCCCUUGACCUCUCUAAAAAAUCGGAUAUAGUUUUCUCUCCUCGUUAUCCUUCUUCUACCUCUUUUUCUUUCUUUUUCUUUUCCCUGUUCUCUUCCCCUCCUUAUUCAGGCCUCCUCAUUUUUCCACCCGCCCUCGCAUGUAGAGAUUCUCCCUUUUUCUUUAUUAUUAUUAUUAUUAUUAUUAUCCCCUUUUCCAUACAAUCAUAAAAAAAAGUCAACAUAGGUUCAAAAAUCGGACCGAACCAUUCAUACCGAUUCCAAUUUUCAUGUUAGUAGAAUUGCUUAGAACCGAAUCGGGCCAUGAAUAUAAAUAAUUAAUUAAAUUUAAUAGGUGUAUACGGGUGUCACUAAAUGAGUGGUGAAAACCAAACUGGUUUUACCUAAUAGGACUGCAUGUGAUCAUAUCUCAAAUAGGUCUUUCACUUGCACGGUUCACCUAUUGAGACAAUGCACUUAUUUGAAAAAAGGAGGUCGUUUUCUCUCCUAGAUUCCCAAAUUUAACAUUCAGGUUUCGAUUUCAUUUUUUUUAUUUUUUAUUUUGAUAGAGUGAUCUUAAGGUGUUUAGUUACAUCCUAUUUGUUUCUUUCCCUUUUCCUAGGACUUUUUUUUAAUCUCUUGAUAAGUCUCUCUUGGGCUUAAAUAUUGUAUUCAUACUAACAUUUUUACUGCAUAGUGGAUGAUUUGUAUGUGUGGAUGUACAUUUGUAUCAUGAAUGUUAUAUGACAUUUGAACUGUGUUUCUUUUUUUGUUUGCUUAGUGUCAGAAAUAUUUGCAUUUUGAUUUUGUAUUUGAAAUGAUAUGUUUUGUUUGUAACAUUGUUUAACCAUUUUAGAAGUGGUAUUUGAAUGCAAGCAUGCAAAAAACAAGAGAAUAAAAAAAAGUAAACUUUGAAUACCAUUUUGAUUUGGUAUUCAAAUGACUUAGUAUUGGGCACCGUAAACAGACAUGGACCGAACCGAAAUCAGUGUGGAUCAAACCAUAUGAUUUUAGUAACAAAUUUAAGUGGAACCACACUGAAUCAAAUCGUUAAUAUUUCUCGGUUCCGGUUCCGUUUUGAGGAUGGAACCACACUGAACCACACCAUGCUCACCCCUACCCACUUUCUCUCAUUCUCUGUCAUUGAGUCUCUCUUCUUUUUCUCAAAUGUAAUGUUAGGGAGACCAAAUUUUUUAUAUCAAAUUUGUAAACCAAAUGAUGUGGUUGUGGAUAAUUGGAUUAUUGAUUAAGUGUCCAAUGACGUGCUUGUUUCUUAUUAGUGACACAUAAUUUAUUUUACAAAUUUGAUUUAAAAUUUUGUUCUCUGUAACAUUUUCAUUCUCUGAGCCUCUCUCAAUGAGUCCGAUAAGUGAUGAGAAGGUCCCACUGUUUUACGCAUUAAUAUUACUGUGAUGAUAUGAGAAGGUCCCACUAAUUUACACAAGACAAAGAUCCGAACAGCAAGAAACAUUGGACAACAACUCUGCAAGCUGCUCUGAUAAAGAAUCAAAGCUCUUACAGGAGCAUAUAUUUUCUUCAAUUGUCCUUGACCCGCAGGUGAUCCAAGCAAGGCAUCAUGUAGGCAGCGGGGCUUGCCUGAAGUUCCAUGAAUUUCUCAUACGUCAUUCCAAUGUACUUCGCUUUUUCACCUUCCUUUUCUAGCAACUCCGGGAUCGGUACAGCGGGCGUGUCGAGUGCCGGUCCAUGUGGUACGGCGAUCGAUAUCCUAGUAGCUGUGUUGUUCACAGUUGCUCGAUGCCAUAUGCUCUUGUACUUGUCGUUUGUUAGAAUUUGCAUUUGAUCACCAACGUUAACAAUAAAAGCGCCCGGAGCGGCAUUUACCAAGACCCACUGAUCAUUGUGCUUGACUUCAAGGCCACACAUAUCAUUCUGAAUCAGGAGCGUCACCAGUCCAUGAUCUGUAUGAGGAGGAAUACCGAUUGCCAGGUCGGGCUGUGGGCAAGCCGGGUAGUAGUUUGCUGCCAGAAUUUGGCAGCCCCGAUCCCAGUUCAUGGCCUUGGUAAUGUAAUCGGCCUCCAGUCCCAAACUCUCCGAUAUUCCAUUCAAUAUUUCGGUUGCCACUGCACGGGUUCUUUUGCUGAACUCCAAUGAAACUUCACUGUACCCAGCAG